UGUGACAGUACAUUUAGAAGUUCAGAGGAAACAAGGGGCUUUCUACGGUGCAGACUUGAUUUGUAGACUCGAAUCACACGCAGUAAGCUGCAUUGGUAUUUAGACCUGGUUGGAGAUUGCUGGUCAUUUCAAAGAUUUUCGACAUCCAUCAAGAUCUUUAUUAUACCAAGUUCCAAAUGCAAAACAUGAAACAGAAUAAGUAGAAUAAAAGCCUCAUGAAUUUUGAUGUUACCGACUUUUAGGCAGUCUUUUUAUAAACGUUUACUUCAUUUGCUUCUUUAGGAUAAAGGGUAUGAAGAUGCCAAGCCAGUGAUUGCUGCUCUUAAGAGCAAAGGUGUGUCUGCCAUUGGGGCUGCAGGAUUUUGUUGGGGAGGUAAAAUUUUCUGAAUUCACUUUCCCAGUUCUGAGGGGGUUGUGGGGUUAAGAAAUGGAAUAUUUGUUCUACAUUCACCGUAGAGAAACUAGUUUUGUUGACUUGCAGAAAAGUUCUUUCAAGUUGUUAAACAGAGCUUGCCUAUUCUUUUCAGGAAUGGUGCUGGUGAAAUUAGCAGGUACUGAAGACAUUCAAGCAGCAGUUAUUCUGCACCCCGGUCCUAUGACUGAAGAUGAAAUCAAAGGUAAAGCUAUGCCAGUAAACAUGGACUUGCUAUUUUCUUUUCAGCCGCAGCGAUAUAAUUUCUUAAUGAGGGUAUUAGACUUGGUACUUGGCACGGGAGCCUUUAUCGCCUAUUAUGAAAUGCUCAUGAACGAUUAAAUUUAUGAAUUCUGAUGGGAGUCUGCAAUGCAGCCGAGAGUGACAAAGAAACUCGCUAUAACAUGUCCGGUCAAUUACAAGAAAUCGAUGGCACAACUUUUGUCUGCUUGAGAAGUGUUCCUUAAACUGGAAGCCUUAAAGACCUUAUUUUCUUCUGUUCUUUGUCCAGCUGUCAAGAUUCCAACUGCUAUAUUGGGAGCUGAGAUCGACCAUUCUUCCCCGCCGGAACAACUGAAAAAGUUCGGGGAGAUCAUGUCGGCUAAAACUGAAGUAAGCUUCUUAGGAUGCUUUGCGUUGGUUGCAAACCAAUUGUCAGAAAAUGCAAUCGUUUUUCCACGUUCCCGUCAUUUCGCUUGCAAAGCACCUUUCCCUUCCUGGUUAUUUAUACACAUCGCUAAUUCAAAGACCCCGGUUUUGCAGUUUGAGAGCUAUGUGAAGAUAUUCCCUGGUGUUAGUCAUGGAUGGAGUGUGAGGUACGACGACGACAAUGAAUUUGUGGUCAAGAGCGCCGAAGAGGCCCAAGAGGAUACUUUGAAUUGGUUCUUGAAGCAUGUCAAGUGAAGAGAACCGAAGGCAUUGAAGCACAACAUUCUGACGGAAGCAUUAGAUGACUGUAUUGUGUGAGACGAACAGUUUGAGGACUAGUCAUCUAUUGUAAUAUCUGGCGAGGGAACAAUGUACUGUGCUGUUGAUACUUAGAGAAAUAAAGACAUUGGUUUCAUCGCUUAAACUUGGAAGAUUGAAAACGAAAUAUAUCGCCUAGAGUUGUAUCGUGGCGAUUUUCGUGGCGAUUUGGGUGCAUUUUCUAUUCGAAUUGAUCAGAGGUGUUCACUGUCCAUUAAAUGAGGACCACACAAUGGAAUAUGAAACAGCAUAUUCGUUUCCCAAUCCCCUUUUUGAAGGAUAUGUUAUUGCAUGGUUACCACCAAGUCAUCAGCUAAAGUGGCUAAUAUCUAAGGUAAUCUCUAGACCACUUAAUUUUGAAUGCAUCCAUUAUAUUAUAAGUUAUAACUUGACAAAUAUGCGAGCAAUUAAGAUUUCAUUAAAAGAUACACGAUCUCAAAAUCGCAUGCCCCAAGAAAAAAAAAGAAAAAGAGAUGAAAGUAAGGAUAUGGAGAAAAAUAGUAUCCAAAAUAUAUGAGAAACCAACUAUUCGAACUUAUGACAAAAGCGAAGCGUUUGUUUUUGGUCAAGUCUAUAUGAUAGUAGGUCAAGAUUUUUCGAAACUAAAUCAGAUAGACAUGGAAAAAUUCGUCCUUCAUGUAUAUGGUAUAUAUUUUCGCAAUGUGCAUUUGUAUACUGACCAAAAAAUUUCAGCUUUUGGCCAGAUGGUGUUUUUUUGUGAGAGGACGCAUGUCUCUAUCGGGCUAAAUAUAUAAUGGUUUCGUCUUUGUUCGUUUCUCGUCUGUUUCUCACCGGCCCUCUUUCUUGUUUGACAUCAGCAGUGACGUUAAUACGAACCACGAGACCUUUGAUGACUAAUCCGAACCAUAAGAUUACACGGGCAAGGUGUCUGCAAGAGUAACUUUUUCAGACGCUGUGAUAUCGUAUCGCGGAUAAGCCAAUGGUUUUCAGAAGGCAAAGCAUGAUUCCACUUAGCGACCAGUGAAUCACCGUAUCAUCUCUCGUCUCUUGGCUCUGUUCUUACCUCGGAAAGAAUAAAGAAACGAAGAAAAAGACCAUGAACAGUAAACAAUGAAAGAAAAGAGAAGAAAAGAUCAAAAUAUCUAUAAAUUUUUUCAAAACGACGUCGUUUUGAGUGGAGUUGUGCAUGUCAAUAUCACUAACCCUUGCCAUGUAAGAUGACAAGCAUUGAUUUGCACCUCUACAUCAGAAUUUCCUGACAUAAAUUAGUUGGAUAGACAAUAUUACAAAAUUGUUGAAAGGUUCAUGACUACACUAGCCGAAUUGGACAGUUUAUUACAAAAUUGGAACUUGUACAAUUUGUUCACAGCUUUUGGGUAGUUUUUCCCAUCUUAAGUAAGUCGUAAUUCUAAUACAUGGAUGCAUAAGCUCUAUGCUUUUCUUAUUAUGAAGGUUGAAUUCCAUUUGAAGGUUAGGUAAUCGUUUUCUGGUUUAGGUAUUUAUUUUUUGUCCUAUGGUGAAUUAGGUGAUGCUUUUUUCGCCUCGUUGGGACAGAGAAAACUGCUUUGUCUCCAAUCCGGCAACUUCCAUAUUGCUGAACCUGGACAUGAAUUUAGUAUCUGUAACACAAUUGUUGAAAUAACCUAAUGAAAAAACCUAGAUUGGUCGAAAUUGGUUGAUUUGGGUCAUCUAGGAACCGGCUUGUUGAAUUAAAGUCUAUCAAACCCAUUGGUUGAUCCAGGCUGAAAUUGGAUUAGUCCACUUAUCAAUUGCGUUAACAUGUCAGGGCUCAACAGCCGGCAAUUAUCUGGAUUUGUAAGAAAGAUCCAUGCAUAGCCGGUGAUGGGCCUUUCUCUCUUGGAAAUUGGACAUUGCUGAAAAAUGCUUUCAAAGAUCUUUCUAUUGGAGUUUUCGAAGUUCUCCAUAUCCACAAAAAAUGUUUAACUUUUACUAGUUCAAAUUUUCAAAUGAGAUAAAAAAAAAAAUCAUUUUGAGAUGUUUGCUUUCAAAAGUUUCUAAAAUAAGUUUCUAAAGAAAAAUACUCGAGUUUAGCGCACAUCAGACGAUCCCUUCCUCGAGACUGUGGAGUGGUUCCUCGGGUCCAAGAUUCGGGGACAAGGGGGUAGGUUUCCCAAGUCCAAGCACUGGAUUCUACGCACUCCCGAGGCUUAGGUACGAGGCAUCGGAAGUAGGGGACCGAGGUCCCAUCUUGCUCUGUUGCGUAGUGGCGAGUGUUGGGGUCCCUGGUUCAACGCACCAACGUCCCGAGUCCAGCUACUGAAGUUUCAGGACUAAGCAUGGUGGUCUCGAAUUUGACCCACAAGCACCCAAGAUAUUGGGUCCUAGCACUUGGUUCCUAAGUUCGACCCUAAGGUCCUAUGUUUCGCAGCUGAAGUUCCCUAUCUCCAUAGAUGAGGCGAUCAGGUUCUCGAAUUUAGAUGAUAAGGUCUUGGUUUAGCCCUAGGUCAAGGGCAUGGGGAUUGGGGUCCCAAGUUCAAGGGUCGAUGACACGGGCGUGUAUUUUAAAUAUUAUAACUUUUUACUAAGUUCCUUGAUAUUUAACAUAUGCUAGGAUAGAAUUUCUUUGUAAUUUAAUUAGAAUUUCAUUAGUUCUUCAAAUAUGUUAAGUUUUCUUGUUAUAUAAAAUAUUGAGAGUUUUCCUCUGUUGCAUUCAUGUGUGUGCGCCAUCGUGUGUAGUGCGAGUGUUCACUUGUGUUGGCAAAUUGCCACUUGUGCAAUCACUCUUUUAUGUUACAUUAAACGGGUCCGGCAUUUGAGCACCGAUGUCUCAAAUUCAACCUUAAGAUGCAAAGCCCGGCCUGUCACACCCCAAAAACUACAAAGAAUGGGGAUGACACAAAGGUCCUUCUUUACAAAGGACGUAGCCUCAAACACAACCAGCAAACUGAUAUUAACUUAUAUAUAUAUCAGAUAAACCUUCAAAUUGGUUGCAACAUCAGAGUUCCUAUAUGUUGGAGAAAUCUUCCUGGAGUAUUUUGAAGCUGAUAAAACGUUUCCAUCAGUCUAGUCUGAAGAUUUGCAGACUCUACUAUUUAAAGUCUGAAGACCUCUGGACUGCCAGACUCAAGACUCAAAGUCUAUUCUCAUUGACAGUUUCUAAUCCGUCAAAGAAGGGCUAUCCAGGACUGGAUGUUUCGUUAAUGAUUUGACCUUAUCGAUUGGAGAAGAUCUCUUGGCUGUAUAUGACAUAACGGAAUCCUUUAUUGACUCAAAGAUUGAGGAUCUGAUGAUUGGCGGAGUAUACUUGGAAGGUUCUACUUAUGGAAACCGAGAUCCUGAUUGUAUGGGCGAGCAUGAUUAUGGGCUAUCGACAUAUUCCUUAAAUAGCUCGAAUGAUCUUCCUAAUUGAUUCUGUCCAACGGGAAGGUUGGAAGAAUUCCUUUGGUAAAUGCCAACGGGUAUGAUGGCAUAAAGGAGUAUAUAAGGAAGACGUUUAAGUUGUUCAAGUGUGUGUGUGAUAAAAGAAUUCCAAAGUCUGAAGCUCUUUGUUCUUAGUCAAUUCAUUUUCUGAGCGAAAUCUUGUACGCAAAAGAGAGUCCAUAUUCUUGAGAAACCUUGAGGAAGUGUGGUAGAGUAUUUACACUAUGGAAUCAAGGGAAAGCCUUGCUGUAACAACUCUUUUGUUUAUAGUGAAAUCCAGCCGGUGGGCUGUUAGUGCGGAAGAGUGGACGUAGGCUUGGAAUAAGAUGAACCACUAUAAUUUAUGUGUUCAUUUUCUCUUCCCUACUCUCUGCUUUACUUUGAUCAUAAUUUGCUUUGUUAACGAAAGGAGAACUUCCUUUCUAUUGUUUGCUUAGUAUUGCUCUCUUAUCUCGAGAAAAUAUUUUUUACACCUAUUCACCCCCCUCUAGGUGCUUAUACUAGAUAUCUCAAUUGGUAUCAGAGCCUGUGUACUCACUUUGUUUGAAGUGUUUUACUUUAGAGUUAAAGAUCCAUGGCUAGUAUGUUAGCUCCAGGGCUAGUAGAAGGGCAAAGCAAUACCAGACCACCUUACUUUGAUGGAAAUGAAUACAACAUAUGGAAAAACAAGAUGAAGGCGUUCCUAAGAUCAAAGGAUCCUCUGGAAUGGGACGUUAUAGACAACGGAAUCAUUCCUAAAGCUGCACCUGUCUUAGAGAGAGGAAAAGAAACUGUUGAGUCUAGUGAAAUGACUUAGGAAGAGAUAACCAAGAGACAAGCUCUUGAUGCAAAAGUAAUUUAUUCUUUAUAUUGUGCUUUGUCACCUACUGAAUAUAACAGAUUAUCUUCUUGUGUUACAGUGAAAGAAGUUUGGGAUAGAUUACAUAUUACCUAUGAAGGAACCGAUCGAGUGAAAGAAACCAGAAUCAACAUUCUCCUCGAUCAAUACGAAGCAUUCAAAAUGAAAUCAGGAGAAUCUAUAACUAACAUGUUUAGUCGUUUUACAGAAAUCGUGAAUGGUCUUGAAAAUCAAGGUUAACCAAUUUCUGAUCACAUGAAAGUAAACAAGCUACUGCGUGGACUCUCCAAGGAUUGAAAUCACAUAAAGACCUCAAUAAGGGAGACACAAAGAAUUAUGCCACUAUCUAUCGAUGAGUUGGUUGAGACUCUUCAGUCUUAUGAAGUGGAACGAAUCAAUGAAGACGAAGAUCCUAAAGGUAAGAAAUCCAUUGCAUUAAAAUCCAAUGAUGAUUCUGAUGUUACAGAUUCUAAAGACGAUAUGGAUGAUGAGGAGCUUGCUCUCAUGAUAAGAAGAUUCAGAAAGCUGAACAGAAAAGGAAGAAGAUUCAAUCCAAAGAAACAAAGUUUUCAAAAGCAACAAACUAAGUCCGUUGAGGAUGAUGAAUCAAAUAGAGAUGUAGUCUGCUUUGAAUGUAAGAAAAAUGGACACAUCAGACCCAACUGUCCUCUUCUGAGGAAGAAGAAAGGAAAAGUUGAAAAGUAUCAAAAUGCUCUUAAAGCAGAAACCUGGAGUGAUACAGAAUGUGAAGAAAGUGAUGAUGAUUAUGCCAAUUGUCUGGUGGCACAAUCGGAUUCAGAUUCAAACUCCGAGACAAACUCAGAUUCAGACAGUGAAGUUGAGGUGAGUAACUCUAAAAUCCCUAUUAAAGUUUCUAAAUACAUUGAUGAGUUGUGUUUUAGUCUUAAGACUUCUCUUAAAAGGAUUUCCGAACUUAAAAAGGAAAAUUCUGCAUUGAAACAACAGGAAAAUGUUUUGAAAGAAAAUGUGAAAUGUUUAGACAUGAAUGUUUCUACUCUUAAAGAAAGAGAAGACAACCUUUCGAAAGAAAAUGUAUUUUUAAAAAAUGACAUAUCAAAUAUUUUCAAAAGAUUUUCAAUAGGAUCUGAGAAACUUGAGAAAAUUCUUUCAGCAUAAAGACCUUAUUUCAAUAAAUCUGGUUUGGGAAUGACUGUGGAAACCAUUCCUUUAAUUGAUUUUCCUAAAGUGAAGGAAAGAAUUAAGCAAAGACCCAUAAGAGAUGCUUACAAAAAUCAUUUUAAAAAGGUCUUUGUAAAACCAAUAGGUCAGAAUGCUCUCAGAUGUUCAAAGUGCAAUAGUUCAAAUCAUUUUGAGAAAGAAUGUCCUAUGGUUUGGAAACCUGUUAAGAAAGUAUGGGCAAAAACCGCAUAUCAUACUAACACCAAUGGACCCAAGAAAAUAUAUGUACCAAAGAAAGUUUGAGUCUCUUUUUUAAAUGCAGGUCACUAUCAAGAAGAAGGUAAAAUGGUAUCUGGAUAGUGGAUGCUCAAGACAUAUGGCAGGAGAUUCAAAUUGUUUCAUAAAGCUCAUUCACGUAAAUGGUGGAAAAGUCUCAUUUGGAGGAAACAACAAAGGAAGAAUUGUGGGAUUCGGAACUGUAAAUAUUGGAAACCUCACAAUCAGCAAUGUUUCCUUAGUGGAAGGACUCAACUACAAUCUGCUCAGUAUCAGUCAGCUGUGCGAUACCGGUUUCAAAAUCAACUUUCAAGAAGGAAUAUGUUCAGGAACCAGUAAAGAUUCUACUAAGUCAUUCAUGGGUUGAAGACAUGGAAAUAUCUACCUCUUGGACGUGAAACCAAAUGAAUCGCAAUGUCUAAUCUCAAUUCAAGAUGAAGUGAACUUAUGGCACAUAAUACUUGGGCACAUCAAUAUGAAGCAAAUAGCCAAAAUUUCAGCAAAGAAGCUAGUUCGUGAUAUACCCAAUCUGUCAUACCAAAAGUCUGAUCUAUGUACACCAUGUGUAUUGGGAAAGCAUGUAAGAAAUUCCUUUAAACCAAUAAAUCAAGUUUCCACUAAUCGUGUACUGCAGCUUCUACAUAUGGAUCUCUUUGAAUCAACCAGAACUCAGAGCAUUAGAGGUAAUAAAUAUUGCCUAGUAAUUGUGGAUGACUACUCACGAUUUACUUGGGUAUAUUUCCUGACAAGUAAGUCUGAAACAUUUUCUUACUUUGAAAAGUUUGCUAAAAAGAUUCAAAAUGAAAAAUGGUAUGUUAUUUCAAGUAUAAGAACAUACCAUGGAGGUGAAUUUGAAAAUCAGGAUUUUACAAAAUUUUGUGAUAAAUUUGGUUUUCAACAUGUGUUCUCCUCUCCAUAUACUUCAGAGCAAAACGGAGUUGUGGAAAGAAAGAAUAGGUCGCUUCAAGAAAUGGCUAGAACUCUUUUAAUUGAAAGUAACAUCUCUUCACGUUUUUGGGCUGAAGCAGUUUCUAUAGUAUGUUAUAUUAUUAAUGGAGUUUUUCUAAGACCUAUUAUGGAAAAAACCCCCUAUGAGUUAUUCAAAGGAAAGAAGCCUAUUGUUUCAUAUUUUCAUGUGUUUGGAUGUAAAUGCUUUAUAUUGAAAAAUACAAAUGAUCGAGUUGGCAAGUUUGAAGAAAAAUCAGAUGAAGGCAUCUUCCUUGGAUAUUCUACCUCAAGCAAAGCCUACAGAGUCUACAACAAGAAGACUCAAUCUGUGGAGGAAUCAAUGAAUGUCAAAUUCCAAGAUUCUAUGCAAAAUGAAUCUAUUCAAACUCAUCUUGAAGAAUCUGAACUUGCUCCAGACUCUACAAAGUCUAAAUCUCAAGAAGCAGUUCAAACUUCGAAAGACUAGCAUCAAAUGAUUGUUGAAUAUUCAAAUGAAGAAAGUGAUCAUCAACCUGACAAAUCAACCGGUAACUGGAAGCAUAAGUCCAGUCAUCCCAAAGAUCUCAUUAUAGGCGACAUUAAUGAAGGAAUUCGCACAAGAUCCAAAAUGCGCGAAGAGUCUAGUGCUGUGGCUCUUAUUUCUGAAAUAGAACCCAAAAGCAUAGAAGAAGCUUUAUCUGAUGAAAGCUGGAUUGAAGCCAUGCAAGAAGAACUCAGGCAAUUCAGUAUUAAUGAUGUCUGGGAAUUGACUCCUAAACCGAAAGGUAAAUCUAUUAUUGGAGCUAAAUGGGUUUUCAGGAACAAGAUGGACGAGAAAGGAAAGGUCAUAAGAAACAAAGUAAGACUCGUGGCCAAGGGAUAUACGCAAGAAGAAGGGAUAGACUAUGAUGAGACUUACGCACCAAUAGCGAGGUUAGAAGCAAUUAGAUUAUUACUUGCUUUUGCUUGCUAUAAGAAUUUCAGGUUAUUCCAAAUGUACGUCAAAAGUGCUUUCCUGAAUGGAUUUAUCCAUGAGGAAGUCUAUGUGGAACAACCACCUGGGUUUGAAGACCCAAGGAAACCGGACUCAAUAUUCAGAUUGAAAAAGGCUUUAUAUGGUUUAAAGCAAGCACCUCGAGCUUGGUACGACAGGCUGAGUAAAUUUUUAAUUCAAAACGGUUUUGUCAAAGGUAAAGUAGACACUACUCUAUUUAUCAAAAGAGAAAGCAAAAGUUUUCUGCUUGUUCAAAUAUAUGUUGAUGAUAUUAUUUUUGGAUCCUCUUAUCAAAGUCUGUGCAAGAAAUUCUCUAAGUCUAUGCAGGAUGAAUUUGAAAUGAGCAUGAUGGGUGAACUAACCUUCUUUCUUGGACUUCAAGUGAAACAAUUGAAUAAAGGAACCUUUAUUCAUCAAGAAAAAUAUGCUAAUGAUCUUGUCAAAAAGUUUGGACUGGAAAAUUGCAAAAAGACUGAUAUACCAAUGUCAAGUUCUUUAAAGAUAGACAAAGAUGAAGGAGGAAAGAAGGUUGACCAGAAGCUAUACAGGAGUAUCAUUGGUUCACUUCUUUAUCUUACUAUUUCUAGACCUGACAUUUUGUUUAGUGUUUGCAUUUGUGCUAGAUUUCAAGCAGACCCUAAAGAAUCUCAUCUAAGUGCUGCAAAGCGUAUUAUCAAAUACAUUGCAUCAACUUCAAGCCUUGGUCUUUGGUAUCCUAAAAAGGGAGACUUUACUUUUCUUGGAUACUCAGAUGCAGAUCUAGCCGGAUGCAGAGUUGAUAGAAAGAGCACCUUGGGUAUCUGUCAACUACUUGGAAGCAGGACAGUGUCUUGGUUUUCAAGGAAGCAAAAUAUAGUGGCUCUUUCUACAGCAGAAGCAGAGUAUGUAGCUCUUGGAAGUUGUUGUUCACAAAUUCUGUGGAUAAAACAAUAGCUAAGAGACUUUGGAAUUGAAGAUUCAUGCACGGAGAUUAACUGUGACAACACCAGCGCAAUCAAUCUCACCAAUAAUCCAAUUCUUCACUCAAGAGCAAAGCAUAUAGAGAUUCGACAUCACUUCAUUAGAGAUCAUGUUCAGAAUGGAGAAGUUUCGAUUCAGUUUGUUGACUCAAAGAACCAACUGGCGGAUAUAUUUACAAAGCCGUUGGAGAAAAAUCAAUUUGAAAUCAUUCGUUCCAGACUCAACAUCUUGAGGUUUGAAGAAGUAAAAAUCUAGAGACUCUCAGACUCAGACAAUCAAGAUCGUUGAUUGUAAGUUAUUUUAUUCUCUCUCAGAUUAAAUCUUGAAAAGGUACGAUCAUAUGUCCAUAAUUGAUUUUUGCUACUUUCAAUUUCCGUGAUUAGUGCAAUCUUUCUUUUUCGAAAAUGGAGUUAAUUUUUAAAUGGCAGUUAUCUAUUUUUUUUGAAAAAGGCAGUUAUUUUUUAAAAGGGCAUCUUUUUACUUUUCAUUACGACGUUUUGUAUGCCUCUCUUCGACUGACCUAUAUACUGUUGGUUUCUCUUCGUUUAACUCCAAAAACUCUAAAAAGCAUCGAUCUUCCACUUCUGUCUUCUUCUCUUGUUUAAUCUUCGAAAAGUUGUCAUUUUUCUUGGGAAAGUCAAGUUUGGAAUCUUUCAAAGACUGUGAAAGAUGUCGUCUCAAAGGAAGUCUUCGAGGAUCGCGAACAGGGGACCGCAGCAAAUGCGUGAGGGGCCUACGCACUUUGAUCUCACCAAGGAAGAAGAGUCUCCUAGUCAGUAGCAGAGCCCACGACAUUCUCAGCAGCGUCCAUCUUCUCCAUCUAGACCACAGGAUGUUGCUCGUCGAGAAGAGGAAUAAAUAAUUGAAGAUGCAGAAUCGUAAGAACUUUUAAGCCCUCUUUUACCUACAAGCUUUAUCGUGCUUUGAAAAGGGGUGGAACUCCUUUGAAUUACAUUGAUGAAUUUCUGAAAGACAAAGGGUACAAAAAUGAAACCUUUUUUUUUUACGCACAAUGGAACGGUUGGGAAUUGCCCUUGCUGGGUUGGCAGAAGAGGCAAUGUCAAAUAUUCCAAUCGAUCCACGUGUUGGAGGGCUGAAUCAGCCAGAUGGGAAUGAUGAUGACAAGUUGUACAGUCAGUUUCAACCGAGAAUGGGUGUUGUGGCAAAAAUUUGGAGCAAAAGGACAGACUUGUUUCGAUCGGAGGAACACAAGCAUCUAUACUCUAAGUUGUUGAAGCGUGGGGUCAUAAACCCUAGAAGUGUGGAUUUUGAUUUCCUUGACGCUGUGAACGUUAAUUUGAGGGAAAAAUUCAGUCUUCUUCAACUUGAACAGUUCUGUUCUGAAUCUACAGAAGCCUAUGCUGAACUCACUACAUACUUCUAUUCAAAUCUCAGUUUCUUAGAUGCGAAUAGAUUCUCUUUUAGUGUCCGAGAUCAGGACUAUGUGGUGGAUGUAGAUAUGUUGGCUGAUGUGAUUGGGGUUGAGAGAGGGAGAUAUCAACCUAUAAAUGUCUCUAUUGCUCGUGCUACGUUAGAACUUGUUAAGGAUAGAAGGAUAGAGGGAAAGGUUUCCUACUCGAGGAUGAGUGCGUUCAACAUUCUACUUCACAAGAUUGUGAUCAAUUGCCUCAGACCAAAAUCUACUUCAAAGACUGAUGUUUCAAACUCAGAGGCAAAACUGAUGUAUGCCAUCAAUGCUGGGAAAAAGUUCUCUCUUCCUCAUACUAUUAUAUUACACAUGUAUAGAGCAGUGGUGAAAGACAAGGGUCAAAUUCCUUAUCCAGCUCUUGUGACAAAGUUAUUUAGACAUUUGAAUGUUUAGCCUCCCCGGAUUCUCUGUGUUCGAAUUUGUGAUCAAAUGGUAGUGGGACUGAAAAUGGUAUCUAAAAUGCAUCUGAAGGAACUCAACAAGGCGUUGGAGAAAUUUAAGGAGAAAACCCCUGUCAAAACUCAUCAAAUCUCUUUGGCAACAAAAAGAAAAGGGAAGGAGCCCAUGGUUGCUCCAUCCAAGAAAAGAAGAGCUCUCAUUGUUGAGGAUGAAGAAGAUGAGGAAGACAUCACCAUUACUGCAAUGGCAUUGAAGAACCUGAGUUGUUCUGUUCCAGAAUCAACGGAACGACAAGAGAAAGACACAGAACAGAGGACUGGAGAAAGAGAAGAUUUGGAAGCAGAAGAGAAAGAAACAUAGGAGAGAGAAGCUGAAGAAAGAGAUGCGGAGGAUGAAAGAAUUAAAGAAGAAGAAGAAGAAGAGGAAAAAGAAGAUCAAGAGGAAGGAGAGCAUGAGGAACACUCUUCUCCUCCUGAAGGCAUGGAAACAAGGGGAGAUUGUGAGAAAAGAGGAAUAUCCUCAUAUCCUACUACCAGUGAAGGAGUCAGCCGCUCUCCAGCAGAUCUAGAGGACAUCUAUGUCUCUCAAUUUCCUGAGGAGGGACAUGAUGUUUCAUUGCCCAAUCUGCGUGACUAUGCUGAUUUGCCAUCAUCUGCCUUUACUCCAUUUGAUCGUGCAGAAGCUAGUACGCAGACUGAUAAUUCAGCAGAUUUUCACAGAAUUCUUGAUGUUCUCUUAGAAAUGCGGGGUCGGAUAUAUGCUCUGGGAUGCGAAGUACAGAAUUUGCAGACUGCAAAUCAAGCUUCUUCAGUUUCUUUGGAUGAUCAGAUCCAAGCCCUUACUCUUCAGAUUCAAGCAAAUGCUAAGGGUGAAGAGGUGGCUCAACUGAAGGAAGAGUUGACAAAGCUGGAAGGCAUUGUCCAGUCAAUGGGAGAUUUUCAGCUUGUUCGUGUUCCCAAGCAUUCUUGAUUCCAUCUCAACCUUUUUUAUGAUGACAAAAAGGGGGAGAGAUGUGAUUUGAACUUUGAACCUUGAACUUUUUUGAACUUGAUCUUGAACUUUUGAUUUGUUUUGAUGUUUGACUUGACUUUUGUGUCUGGCUGUGGACUAGAUUUGGGAUUUUGGAUUGACUGCUUAUAUUAAGUACUAUUGAUAUCUUAUGGAUGGCUUUACUCAUAUGCAAGACUAACCUAUUUUCUGUGGUUACAGAUUUUAGUGUUAUCAAUAAACCAUUUAUCUUUAUGAGAUAUCCAUAUUUGCUUGAGUAAUAUUUUGCAGGUCAAAGUUAUCCAAACUGUAGGAAAGUUUUGUCACCAUAAAAAAGGGGGAGAUUGUUGGAGAAAUCUUCCUGGAGUAUUUUGAAGCUGACAAAAUGUUUCCAUCAGUCUAGUCUGAAGAUUUGUAGACUCUACUAUUUAAAGUCUGAAGACCUCCGGACUACCAGACACAAGACUCAAAGUCUAUUCUCAUUGACAGUUUCUAAUCCAUCGAAGAAGGGCUAUCCAAGACUGGAUGUUUCGUUAAGGAUUUGACCUUAUUGACUAGAGAAGAUUUCUUGGCUGGAUAUGACAUAACAGAAUCCUUUAUUGACUCAAAGAUUGAGGAUCCGAUGAUUGGCGGAGUAUACUUGGAAGGUUCUAUUUAUGGAAACUGAGAUCCUGAUUGUAUGGGCAAGCAGAAUUGAUGGGCUAUCGACAUGUUUCUUAAAUAGCUCGAAUGAUCUUCCUAAUUGAUUCUGUCCAACGGGAAGAUUGGAAGAAUUCCUUUGGUAAGUGCCAAUGGAUAUGAUGGCAUAAAGGAGUAUAUAAGGAAGACGUUCCAGUUGUUCAAGUAUGUGUGCGAUAGAAGAAUUCCAAAGUCUGAAGCUCUUUGUUCUUAGUCAAUUCAUUUUCUGAGCGAAAUCUUGUACGCAAAAGAGAGUCCAUAUUCUUAAGAAACCUUGAGGAAGUGUGGUAGAGUAUCUACACUGUGGAAUCAAGGGAAAGCCUUGCUGUAACAACUAUUUUGUUCAUAGUGAAAUCUAACCAGUGGGCUGUCAGUGCGAAAGAGUGGACGUAGGCUUGGAAUAAGCCGAACCACUAUAAUUUCUGUGUUCAUUUUCUCUUCCCUACUCUCUGUUUUACUUUGAUCAUAAUUCGCUUCGUUAACGAAAGGAGAACUUCCUUUCUAUUGUCUGCUUAGUAUUGCUCUCUUAUCUCGAGAAAAUAUUUUUACACCUAUUCAUUCUCCCUCUAGGUGCUUGUACUAGCUAUCUCACUAUAAUCCACCAAAAAGAGAAAAGAGAUAUACGUUUAAAACUUAGAUGAUCCAACCACUAGUAAGGAUCAUUUGCAUCACUUCCUUAAACUAUACCAAAAACAAAAUAGAACUCCCCAAAAGUUUCCCACGACAGUGAACUCGCUCUAUUUGCCGCUAGCUGAGGAACCUAAAAAGAUCAAAGGAGGAAUAGGAUGAGCAACCAUAGCUCAGUGAGUAGUACAUAUCUUCUAAACAGAUCGAACAAUCACUAUGCAUAUAUACAAAGCAAUACCAAACUUCAUAACGCCAGCUCAAUAUAUAAAAUACGUAUUGAAUCUUAUAAGAGUUAUUUCUUAUCAUCAAAUAUUUAUAGUAAUAUGGAAAACUCAUUUGAAUCACCAUCAAAAGUCAAGUAUCAAUGGUUGAAUCCAUUGAAUAAUCUCCAUCAAAAACACAUAUCAAUGGCCUAUCCAUUGAUUAAUCUUUUGCUCAAUAACUAACCAUGGUCACGACACAACGCCUUGUGACAAGGCAACCAAGAUUCUCCCUUUGGCAAGGUUUCCACCUACAAAGCCGGUGGCUGAGCCCAGAAGGAUAUCAUAAACCUGGUAUGUAUACCCCAAAUUGAGCAUAAAUAACCAUUCUCCAAUACCAGAAAUCCAAUCCAAAAAUCAAUAUCUUAAACCAAACAAAUAACAUUUUGCAACAUAGCCCAUCAUCCAUUUCAUACUCAUUUCUCAAAUCAUUAAAUCUUUCCAUAAAUCAGUUGCAAAGCAAUUUCAUAUAUGUUUCUUCACAAACCUUGUAUAACGUGCUUUUCAAAGAUUCACAAUCAACCAAAGGGUAGCAAUUGUUCGAUCUGGCUUUUAUGCAAUAAAAAUGCUCUUCUCAAUUCAAUACAUAUACAUAUACAUAUAUAUAUAUACUUCAAGACAUGAUUUUAUAAAACCAAAGAAAAUAUAGUACUACUCACCUUGUCGUCUAUGACCAAACGACAAAUGAUACUUGCAUCGUCGAACUCAAGGCCCUAUCAAAUAACCGAAGAAUAAUGUUAAAAUCUAAUAAAAUUUUAUCUCGACUACAAAAUGACUAAGUUACACCUUAACUCUAACAAAAGGACUUCUGCGUGCUAACAAGUUGCAUAACCAAAGCGAUUGUUCAAGCCAUUCGCAACAUGAAGUUUAAGCGCAAAACUUGAUCGAGCCUUAACUCUCUCUUCCAAACCCCGAUCCAAACGUACUUAUAGUCAAUAGAGAGCCCUUGACACAUAUUGCAAGAAUCUCAACUUCACCGUCCCAAAAUCAAGCCAAAAAAUGACAAAAUACGGGCCAAAGCUGCUGGACGCGUACUGUUCACUGCGCACGGAAAACUUUGAAAUUUUGUUUCGGACAAACCAUAAGCUCAAAUCAUGAUCCGUAAAAUCUCACGGCUCCACAACACCCUAAACUACCAUUUCUACAAAAAUAUGCGGCUCAACGACUCUAAAAUCAGAUUUCGCCGCUCAAUUUUCCAAAAAUUUCGAAUUUGAGUCCCAAAUUCAAAAAUUACUUCAAUUGGAUGAACGAGGGACUCGAUCUCUUACCGGAUGCUGCGUUAUGGAGUCGAGUCGGCUUGGUGAGGUAUCCGAGGCGUGCACAUGCCAAAACUCCUUUCCUUUCUUCCCCUUUCUCUUCUUCUUCUUCUUCUUCUUCUUCUUCUUCUUCUUCUUCUUCUUCUUCUUUUCUUUCUUUUCUUUUUGGUCGAGGAAACUCUCAGCUUCUAUUUAGCCGAGCCCUCUCCCAUCUCUUUUUUCUUUUUUCUUUUUUAUUGCGUUUUUAGCUUUUCGACUUCUUUUUCCGUUUCUUCUUUUGGGGCCUUUAAAACUUCUUUUUCUGUUUCUUCUUUUGGGGCCCACUAGCCUAAUGUUACAUGGCCCAUCAGGCAUCGGGUUUGAAGAGUAGGUUAUUAGGAUCUUGAGUUCUUUCCUUGAUAUCUUGAGUCCUGAAUAUGGGAAUGGUGUUGGUGGUGGUGGAAGUCAAAUCAGAUUCUAGAAAAUGUUGAGUCCUUUCAAGUGGCGGAAAUUUAUUUCCAAAAUCUGAGUGAAGAUUUCUAAUGGAUUAAAAAAAUUCUAUAUUAAAUCAUGUUUCUAAACAACGUCAAAAGGCAAAAGAUGAAGCAGGUAUUUUACCAGCUAAUUUCCGACAAGACAAACGGCUCAAACGUAAUUCAUUAUGCAGAAGCUCCCUGAGACAAAAGGAUCACUUGAUUUUUUAUGGUUCGUUCUCAAAGCAGAUAUGUUCCAGACUUUUUACAAAGAUCAAUUGAUCAAGCGUAUUGGGAAAGUGAGCUUCAAUGAGCUUUAGAGUUUUGACCAUUGAAAAGGGGAAUUUUUUUUUUUGGUAAGGUUGAAAAGGGGAAUUUUUCUAUAUCAAUCAUCUUGAAGUUGGCAUAGGGUGUUUCUAUCAGUUACUCAAAUCUCUUUUAGCUAUUGUUGAAGCAAGCGUCAUUUGACUUGAUUGGUCGAAUUAGGCGGAAUCCACACGUGUAAUCACCUCACCUUCGUGUUCUUUUGGACUUACCCAAUGAAGCACAUAUUUCUAUUUCUCCAGCAAUUAUCUAAUGCACAUGGUGUCACACCUUAAAACUACAAAGAAUGGGGAUGACACGGUCGUCCUUCUUUACAAAGGACGCAGCCUCAAACACAACCAACAGACUGAUAUUAACUUAUAUAUCUCAAACCAUAUAUUUAUCAGAUAAACCAACAAAUUGGUUGCAACAUCAGAGUCUCUAUAAUCCACCAAAAAGAGAAAAUAGAUAUACGUUUAAAACUCAGACGAUCCAACUACUAGUAAGUAUCAUUUGCACCACUUCCUUAAACCAUAUCAAAAACAAAAUAGAACUCCCCAAAAGUUUCCUACUGAUGGCACACUCGCUCUAUUCGCCGCUAACUGAGGAACCUGAAAAGAUUAAAGGAGGAGUGGAAUGAACAACAAUAGCUCAGUGAGUAGUACAUAUCUUCUAAGCAGAUUGAACUACCACUAUACAUGUAUACAAAGCAAUACCAAACUUCAUAACGCCAACUCAAUAUAUAAAAUACAUAUUGAAUCUUAUAUGAGUUAUUUCUUAUCAUCAAAGUUUUAUACUAAUAUGGAAAACUCAUUUAAAUCGCCAUCAAAAGUCAAGUAUCAAUGGUUGAAUCCAUUGAAUAAUCUCCAUCAAAAACACAUAUCAAUGGUCUAUCCAUUGAUCAAUCUUUUGCUCAAUAACUAACCAUGGUCACGACACAACGUCUUGUGACAAGGCGACCAAUAUUCUCCCAUUGGCAAGGUCUCCACCUACAAAACUGAUGGUUGGGCCUAGAAGGAUAUUCUAAACUUGGUAUGCAUACCCCAAAAACCCCUCACUGGGUUCACAAUUAUAUUGAGCAUAAAUAACCAUUCUCCAAUACUAGAAAUCAAAUCCAGAAAUCGAUAUCUUAAACCAAAUAAAUAACAUUUUGCAACAUAGCCCAUCAUCCAUUUCAUAUCCGUUUCUCAAAUCAUCAUAAACAUUUUCAUAAAUUAGUCACAAAGCAAUUUCAUAUAUGUUUCUCCAGAAACCUUGUAUAACAUGCUUUUCAAACAUUCACAAUCAACCAAAGAGUAGCAAUUGUUCGAUAUGGCUUUUUAUGUAAUAAAAAUGCUCUUCUUGAUUCAAUAUAUAUACAUACAUACUUCAAGACACGAUUUUAUAAUACCAAAGAAGAUAUAAUACCACUCACCUCGUCGUCUACGACCAAACGACAAACGAUACUUGUAUCGUCGAACUCAUGGCCCUAUCAAAUAACUGAAGAAUAAUGUUAAAAUAUAAUAAAAUUCUAUCUCGACUACAAAAUGACUAAAUUAUGCCUUAACUCUAACAAAAGGACUUCUACGCGCUAACAAAUCGCAUAACCAAAGCGAUUGUUCAAGCCAUUCGCAACACGGAGUUUAAGCACAAAACUUGAUCGCGCCUUAACUUUCUCCUUCGAAUCCUAAUCCGAACAUAUUUAUAGUGAAUAGAGAGCCCUUGACACAUAUUACAAGAAUCCCAACUUGACUGUCCCAAAAUCAAGCCGAAAAAUGACAAAAUAUGGGCCCGAAGCUGCUGGAUGCGUACUGUUCACUCGCGCGGGAAACUUUGAAAUUUUGUUUCGGACAAACCAUAAGCUCAAUCACGAUCCAUAAAAUCCCAUGGCUCCACAACACUCUAAACUUCAAUUCCUACAAAAAUACACGGCUUAGCGACUCCAAAAUUAGACUUCGCGCUCGAUUUUCCAAAAAUUGAAUUUGAGCCCUAAAUCCAAAAAUUACUUCAAUUGGACGAACGAGGGGCCUAAUCUCUUACCAGGUGCUGCGUUAUGGAGUCGAGUUGGCUUGGCGAGGCGUCUGAGGCGUGCACGUGCCAAAACCCCUUUCCUUCCUUCCCCUUUCUUUUCUUCUUCUUCUUCUUCUUCUUCUUCUUCUUCUUUUCUUUAUGGUCGAGGGCCCUCGAGGGCCCUCAGCUUCUAUUUAACCAAACCCUCUCCCCUCUCCUUUUUGCUUUAUCGGCUUUUUAGCUUCUUUUUCUAUUUCUUCUCUUGGGGCCCACUAACAUAAUAUUACACAUGGGAUGGGGGUACUAACACAUCUAAUAGGGAUGGGAUUAGUUGGGCACGCAAAAAGUCCUAGAAAUCCAUUGCUACAACAAAAGAAUUCGAGGAAUUUGAAACAAGUGACUUUUCCUUUGUCUAGCUUGAAGAGAGAUUCUUCUAUGCCUCAUGAAUGUGACAUUCCUAUUCAUCAAAAUCAAUCACCACAUGUUGAUUAUUGUAAAUUGCCUUAUUUUCUUUUAAAAUUAAAAAAAAAUUGCAUAGACAAUGACUAGAUUGAUUGGUCAGAUCAUCGUUAAAUUGCUUCCUCAAUAGGUGCAUUGAUUGUUGAUCCUAAACUAAACUUAAGAGCUUACACUUCUUUGUGCACACAAAGUUUCAAUCUCUUAUGAACUUGAUAAUAAUGGUCAUAGAACUAUAAAGUUUUUUUUUUAAUUGAGAGGUGUUGAAAAUAAUAGUCACCAACAACAGUAGGCACAUCAAAAGAAGUCUCUAUGGGAAGGUUACACCAUUGUUCCAAAUUCUAAUCUUGAUUAAUGAUGUGACAUCUUCAUUGGGUCUUGAAGUGUCUGUUUAAUUCUCUUUGCUCCAUAGCUAGCAUAUACUAAUUCAAUUUGGAUCAACCGGUUUUACGACUAGAGUGCAAAACGGAAAGAUGAAAUAUAGAUGCCCCUCGGAGAUACCCUAAUUAUAAAUUUCCAAUCAUAACAUUAGGCAAGAUAAAAAUUUGCCAAAUUGAUUGUGACAACCUCUAUAGGGAAUAGAUAAAAAUGCCCUAAUUGUGCACACGACAAAAUGAUUGCCCCCAUCACUAGACAUGGACGGCCCAAUGUUUUACAAUAUUUUACCAGCUAAUUUCCAGCAAGACAAACGGCUCAAACGUAAUUCAUUGUGCAGAAGCUCCCCGAGAUAAAGGGAUCACUUGAUUUUUUCUGGUCCGUUCUCAAAGCAGAUCUGUUCCAGACAAUCAAUUGAAUAUCCACGUAAUUAAGUGAAAUAGUGGCUUUUGUCUCAAUUUUACUGGUUUUCCUAAAUUAUCCAUAUAUGAAAUAUUAAAGAGUAAAAAAAAGAUAUAAAUUACAUUUUUGAUAAUAUCCCACCUUCAUUUGGUUCCUCCCGUAACUAUCCAUUUGCACCUACUCUUAUAUUGACUGACAAGAAAGUUAUGUUGUACCAAAAAGCACCAUCUCUUUAACCCACUGUCUGCACCUUUGACAGUCACAUGGAAUUCUCUUCUAUGAUCUCCGCUUCUUAUCAUCAUUCUCUUAUUAUUUUUAACGACGAAAUUCACUCUAUGACUGAAAUUUUAUCAACUUACAAAUAUUACUCAUGUAUAUUACAAAAUUCAAAUUAAAAUAAGCAUCACGAUUAUUAAGCCCGCGCACGCACGGUGCGUACAAACAAUCACCCAAUUCCAUGCACAUACAUAGCUCCUUUUUAAGCCAAAGAGAAGAGAGAAUCACUUGCAUCUUGAUUGAGUUGUUGUUACGAUACACGGACGCGUAAGCUCUAUGCUUUUCUCGUUAUGAAGGUUGAACUUCCUUAAAAGAUUACAUUAUCAUCUUCUGGUUUAGGUACUUAUUAUUGCCCUAUUGGUGAAUUAGCUGAUGCUUUUCUCCGCGUCGUCAGGAUAUAAUAUGCACAUAUUAACGUCAUGACAGGGACAACUGAUUUGUCUCCAAUCCGGCGACUUCCAUAUCGCUGAACUUGGACGUGAACUUUGGCACCCUUACAGUAGUUGUUGGAAUAGUCUAAUGACAAGAACCUGGAUUGGUCCGAAUUGAUUGAUUUGGCUUCUCUAGGAGCCAGCCCUUGAAUUAAAGUCUAUCAACCCCAGGCGUAGACUUAUAUUAGUCGAUCCAAGCUGAAAUUGAAGUGUCCCGUUCAUAGAUUGCAUUAGCAUGUCGGGACUCCAACAGCCGGCGAUUAGCUGGAUUCCUAAGAAAGAUCCAGCAGCAUAUUGUGACUGGUUGAUAAUGGCUCAAGGAAUUUCCAAACAAAAGCAAAGCAUAUGAUGGGCCAUUUGUCUCUUGGGGAUUGGACAUUGCUGAUUUUUUUUUUCUAAGAUCUUUAUGUUGGAGAUUUCGAAGUCGUUAAUUUUCAGAAUAUGUGUUUAGCAUUUCUUAAUUCAACUUUUCAAAUAAGCUAAAAGUCAUUUUGAGACCUUUGUAUUUCCAAACUAUUUUUUGAGAUCCAAGUUUAGCGCACAUCGAAUUAUCCAUAUCUAUAGACCUUGAUCCUUGUGCCAAGAACCAAGGAGAGUGGCGUAUUAGCUGUGGACUAGGAUCCUUAUGUGGAUGAUCCAGGGUCAAUUUACACAUCCAUGUAUUGGAAUCUCUAGGCUCCCGAGAUUAUAUAUGAGGCACUAAGUAGGACACCGAGGUCUCGUCUUGCCUUGUUGUCUAGUGGCGUGUGUUGGGGUCUCAGGUUCAAGGCACUGACGUUCUUAAUCCAAGAGGUCUUGAGACUAAGCAUUGAAGUCUCGAAUUUGAUCCAUAAGGGCGUGUUUGGUAACGUUUCUGUUGCCCGGAACAAUUUCUAAGCAUUUUAAGCUGUUUGGUAACUGUCCAAAAUUUCAAUUCUCAGAAUAGAAUUGCGUUUAGUAUAGUGCUCAAAAUUUCUACUCCAAAUCAUUUUCUUUUAAUUUUAAAUUUUUUUAAAUUUUUUUUCCUUUUUUCUUCUUUUCUUUUUUCCCUUUCUUUCUCAUAUUCUUCUUCUUCAAGUGGCCAAUUGUCAACAGGUUGGUCGGCGACUGGCUAGACGAGAGUUGGCAACCUCACCGGAGCGUUGCCAACCCUUGGCGAGGACGGCCAUUGUCGGCCGAGCCUCGCUGGCAGCUGGGCAAGGCUCGGCCGAGCCUCAGCGGGGCUGGGGGAGGCCUGCUUGGCCACCGACGAGGCUCGCCCAGCCCCUUCGAGCCUCAUCGAACUAGUUGCUGGUGAUUGGCGACGGUGGGCGGCGGAUGGCGAACGGCAACCACGACGGUGGCAGUAGAUGAAGAAGAAGAAAAGGGAAGAAGAACAAGAAAAAAGAAAAAAAAAAGAGAAAUUGAUUUUAGAAUUGUUCCCAAGAACAAUAAUCAACCUUUUUUAUUUUUAUUUUUAUUUAUUCUUGAUUCUGUUCCAAAUCUACUUUUGGGAACAAAAAAAUAGAAAUUUGUUUCCGAGAAUAAAAUUUUUACUAAACACGAUUCUAUUCCAAAAUUGCUCAUGGGAACAAAAGAAUAGAAAUUUUUACUAUUUGGCCAGUUAGGGUCUGUUUGGUAACCAUCCCAACAGUGCCAAAUUCUGAUUCUUUGUUCCCGGAAUCAGUUUCGGCCUAGAAUCGCGUUUGGUAAAUUUUUUGUUCCCGGGAACAGAUUGGGAAUAGAAUCAAGAAUAAAAAAAAAGUUUNNNNNNNNNNNNNNNNNNNNNNNNNNNNNNNNNNNNNNNNNNNNNNNNNNNNNNNNNNNNNNNNNNNNNNNNNNNNNNNNNNNNNNNNNNNNNNNNNNNNUCUUCAAGUGGCCAAUUGUCAACAGGUUGGUCGGUGACUGGCUAGACGAGAGUUGGCAACCUCACCGGAGCGUUGCCAACCCUUGGCGAGGACGGCCAUCGUUGGCCGAGCCUCGCUGGCAGCUGGGCAAGGCUCGGCCAAGCCUCAGCGGGGUUGGGGGAGGCCCGCUUGGCCACCGACGAGGCUCGCCUAGCCCUUUUGAGCCUCACUGAACUAGUUGCUAGUGAUUGGUGAUGGUGGGCGGCGGAUGGCGAACGGCAACCACGGCGGUGGCAGUAGAUGAAGAAGAAGAAAAGGGAAGAAGAACAAGAAAAUAAAAAGAGAAAUUGAUUUUAGAAUUGUUCCCAAGAACAAGAAUCAACCUUUUUUAUUUUUAUUUUUUUAUUCUUGAUUCUGUUCCAAAUCUACUUUCGGGAACAAAAACAUAGAAAUUUAUUUCUGAGAACAAAAUUUUUACUAAACACGAUUCUAUUCCAAAAUUGCUCAUGGGAACAAAAGAAUAUAAAUCGUUACCAAACGCGCCAUUAGCAAACAUGACCUAAGCAAGCACCCAAAGGUCAUGGGUCUGGGCAACUGGGACCUAAGUCCAACCACAAGGUUCUAUGUUUGGUAGCCAAAGUCUCAUCUCUUCAUGGAUUCAACGGUUUGAGUUUUGAGUUAAGAUGCUGAAGGCUUGGUUCAACCCUAGGUGCUAGGGACGGCGCUCAUUGUUCCCAAGUUGAUGACAUGGGAUGCAUGUUUUUAAAUAUUAUGAUUUUUAUUUAUUCUCUUGUCUUUCUUUAUUUUAGAAAUUAUUUUAGGAUACUGGAUGAUUUGUUUCAAUAGUUAUCAUUUACAUAUUUAAGAUAUCGUGGGAUAGAAUUUCUUAUUAGUUUACAUAUUUCCUAUUAUGAAAUUAGAAUUUCCUAAGUGUUUUAGAUAUAAAUAUGCAUUGUGUUUUUCUUGUAAUUUGGCUUAUUUAUUGAUGAAUAAAGGAAAAUUUUCAAAUGAGGGCAUAUGGUGCUCUCAUUUUCUCAAAUAAGUGCCCGAAGUAGCCGUUAUUUUAAAUAAGGGCUAGAAAAAAAAUGAAUUGACCAAAUUCUCUCGAAUAAGGACUUUUGGCUAGCCAUUGACUAUUCUGUCAUUGGAGAAAGGGUAUUUUAGUAAAAAAAAAAUUCUAAGUAUAUAUUUUUUAUUUUUCUCUCCUUGCCAUGCCUCAAGUGAGGGUUGCCUUUGCUGGCGUUGGGUGAGGGUGAAGGUUGCCCUUGUUAGCCCAAGUGAGGCGAUCCUUGCCCAAUGCUGGGGAGGAGGAGCCGUUGCUUGAGUCCAGCAACUUGAUGGAAAAUGGGGAAAAAAGAAAAAGAAAAUAACAAAAAAAAGAAAAAAAAAAAGGAAUUUUUGUAAAGAUGAAAAUGCCUUUCAAUCAGCAAGGUUAGCCUCUUCUUUGAGACCAAUAUGGCUACUUUAGGUAUUUAUAUGAAACAAUUUCACUUCAAGCUCUUAUUUGAGAAAAUUAUAGCACUUCAAGCCCUUAUUUAAAAUAAAGUCUACUUUAGGCCAUUAUAUGAGAGAAAAAAAAAAAGGAACACUUUAAGCCCUUAUUUGGAAUUUUCCCAUGAUUUAAUGGAAAAAUAGUGAGGUUUUCUUUGUAGCAUUUCGUGUAUGUGCAUCAAAAUGCAUAUCAUGAGUGUUUACUUGUGUUAAGGAAUUCCCAUAUAUGCUAUCACUCAUUUAGGUUAUGUUGGGCUAUCAUAGGUGUUGUCUAGGCAUCACUUGUCUAGCAGUAGUGCUUGUUCAACACUUGUUGCUCCAUAGCUUGCAUAUAAACUAAUUCGAUUUGGAUCACCAUUGGGUUUUUAUUUCUUAACCAUACCAAUUUGCUUCUUAAAUUCACCAAUUUAUCGAAAGGUUGAAAAAAUAAAAUCCAUGCCUAAUAAUUAGGGAAAAUAAAAGUUUAAUAUCAUCUCUGGUAGGAGCUGGAUUUAUAGUGCCACUAGUGAGCAAUUUCACCCAAAAGAACAUGUUUAAUUGAGAAACCUUGAACCGACACAAACAAGGAAAGGAUUACCCACAAAGGGCAAGACAGAAAAGGUGAAAUAUAGACUCCACCUUAAAAAAAAAAACCCAAUUAUAGAUUCACCAUCAUAGCAUCCAGCCAAAAGAUGGAAAAAGGAAGGAACCCCAUCGAUUGCGACAAUCACCAUCGGAAAAUAGAUAAGCUUCGCACAACUUGUGCACUCCACAAAAUGAUUGCGCCCAUCACAAGUUAUGGAGCGCCCCAAUGUCAACAUCUUUAGGGCUAGAACGGCUUAAUUGAUAAGAAAUCAUCUUGAUUAUCAUCAAGACAACGUUGGCCUAAGAAAUCGAGUCUGAUUGGGAUUUGGAAAAAAAAUGCAUAUAUUCGCGUCGAUAAUGAAAUUUUACGCGCGUGGGUAACAUUUUCAAUGGUGGGAUUGGUGUAGGUCUGCGCAUCCAGAAAUGAUUGUCACGACAAUGAGUCUUUAUCUUGAUAUUGAUUAAGUUUAACGAGUUUUUAUAAAGAGUCAAAUGAUUUUUUUUUUUUUUAAAGCAAAGGAUUAAUCAUUAUUUGAUGCCUAGGGGGCCGGCAAACACAGAGAACGAGGAGACAUCGCCAUAGAAAAAGUUGGUACCUUGAUUUGAUGGAUUUUUUCAUACUACGCACAUCAACCGUUCACGUACUCCAAAGGCGGGGCCUCUCAUGCUCCGAGUCAUGAAAUACCCACAAGAAUUUAUUUGCUUUGUCACUAUAUUAUUUAUCACCUAUGUAUGUAUUUAUGCAUCAACAUAGGUGAAAAUCAUCAUAUAUAAACCGAACCACUAUGAGUCAAAUCAUUUCAUACAUAUAUAUAUAUAUAUAUAUAUAUAUAUAUAUAUAUAUAAAGUAUGUUUGUUUUGUGAUUUUUGUUCUAUUAAGUUAAUGUAACAUGUACAAAAGGCGAUCGUCCGACGAGUUUGAGAUUUUACAAAACACAAGCUAAAUUGUUCCCUCUAGUCAAUUUCAAAAGAGUUGGAAUAUUGCAAACUUAACGAAUUUUUAUUUUCUUCGAAAAACAGAACACCAUUUGUCCGCACAACAAGAGGAGACAUUACCAAAUUUUGUGGACAUGCUUUGUCCGAGACCCAGCCCAUGUCCAGCAGCCCAGAUUGUGAUGGGUCCAGCCUGGACAGGCCCAUGGGGUGGCUGAUGGGCCUUGUCAAACACUAUUCAGUUGCUCUCCUAAGCUACAUAAACGAUCAACGAUAAAAUUCAAUGUCACAGGACAAGUUUCUGUCGGGCACAAUGCAAAUAAUGAGGUCCUAGAAUUAUAUAAUUGCUUUUGAGAUGCGAAGUUCUCAUUUAUCUAAAUCAAUCGUAGCAUGGCAAGUGUUACCAACUUCCUUAUCUUCUUUCAAGAUUAAUAAUAGUAUUUUUCCACAUGAUGAUCCACUUGGAUGGAUUGAAAUGUCAUACUUUGAGAGCACAUAAUUUUUUUUUUAGUAGAUAGAUAUUUUAUUCCUUCUCCUGUUUGCAUUCUAAUAUAAAAAUAUGAAUGCCGCUACCCAAUAUGCUUUCCACUUAAUGAUUGGAGCGUUGAUCUUGUUGUAAAUGCUAGAUCAUCAACUAGGCCGUCUUAAUAAAGAUUAGUUGAAGUUUGCUAUACUUAAGCUCUUUGUGAGGUGCCCAAAACGAGCUCCAAAUUGCAUAAAGACCUUCGACACGAGCCUGUAAUUUGAAGAGACAGUCGACGUGACCCCAAGUUUUGUAUAUUUGUAAUCUUAACGCAUGUAUGUUGUGGACCUACUUGGUCACAUCCCAUAUGCUUGGGUUCUGUCAUGUUCAAUUGGAUGUCACCAUAUCCAAGUUUGUCAUAGCUGUCGACCUAGACUAGGUAAGAACCACAUCAAUUUGCUUCAGUCGGUCGUGAGUAAAUUAUGAGCUGGGAUAAAUGCAAGUGAAUCUCAAGUGAUGCACUGGAGAAAAUAUUUGGAAAUGCCAUCGAACCUCACCUUUUGUCACUUCUAAGUAGUUAUUGAAUGAUCGGGAACGCCUUCUGUCACACCCGAAAACUACAAGAAUGGGGGAUGACACAGCCGUCUAUCCACACGAGGGACGUAGCCUCAAACACAACCAAUAAACUGAUAUCAACUUUUAUAUAUAUAUAUAUAUCUCAAUUAUAUAUAUACAUAUCAGCUAAAUCAAUAAAUUGGUUGCAACAUCAAAGUUUCUAUAAUCCACCAGAAAAGAUAUACGUUUAAAACUUAGACAAUACAACCACUAGCAAGGAUCAUAUGCACCACUUCCUUAAACCAUACCAAAGAAAAUAAAAAUAGGACUCCCUAAAAGUUUCCUACCAACGGCCCUCUCGCUCUAUACGCUGCUAACCGAGGAACUUGAAAAGAUUAAAGGAGGAGUGGGAUGAGCAACAACAGCUCAGUGAGUAGUACAUAUCUUCUAAGCAGAUCGAACAACCAUUAUGCAUGUAUAUAAAGUAAUACCAAACUUCAUAACGCCAACUCAAUAGAUAAAAUACAUAGCAAAUCUUAUAAGAGUUAUUUCUUAUCAUCAAAGCUUAAUAAUAAUAAUAUGGAAAACUCAUUUAAAUUGCCAUCAAAAGUCAAGUAUCAAUAGUUGAAUCCAUUGAAUAAUCUCCAUCAAAAACACAUAUCAAUGGUCUAUCCAUUCAUUCAUCUCAUAUCAAACACACAUCGAUGGUCUAUCCAUCGACCAAUCUUUUGUUCAAUAACUAACUAUGGUCAUGACACAACGCCUUGUGACAAGGCGAUCAAGAUUUCCCCUUGGCAAGGUCUCUACCUACAAAGUCGAUGGCUGGGCCCAGAAAGAUAUCCCAAACCUAGUAUGCAUACCCCAAAAAGCCCUCACUGGGUUCACAGUCAUAUUGAGCAUAAAUAACCAUUCUCCAAUACUAGAAAAUCAAAUUCAGAAAUCAAUAUCUUAAACCAAAAAAAUAACAUUUGCGGCAUAGCCCAUCAUCCAUUUUAUAUCCAUUUCUCAAAUCAUCAUAAACCUUUUCAUGAAUCAAUCACAAAGCAAUUUCAUAGAUAUUUCUCCACUUACUUUGUAUAAUACACUUUUCAAACAUCCACAAUCAACCAAUGAGUAGCAAUUGCUUGACCUGGCUUUUAUGCAAUAAAAAUGCUCUUCUCAAUUCAAUAUAUAUACAUAUAUAUAUAUAUAUAUAUAUAUAUAUAUAUAUAUAUAUAUAUAUAUAUACUUCAAGACAUGAUUUUUACAAAACCAAAGAAGAUAUAGUACCACUCACCUCGUCCUCUACGACCAAAUGACGAACGAUACUUGUGUCGUCGAACUCAAUGCCCUAUCAAAUAACCAAGAAAAAUGUUAAAAUCUAAUAAAACUCUAUCUCAACUACGAAACAACUAAAUUACGCCUUAACUCUAACAAAAGGAUUUCUACUCGCUAACAAUUUGCAUAACCAAAACUAUUGUUCAAGCCAUUUGUGACGCGGAGUUUAAGCGCAAAACUUAGUUACGCAAUAACUUUCUCCUUCGAACCCCGUUCCGAACGUACUUAUGGUCAAUAAAGAGCCCUUGACACAUAUUACAAGAAUCCCAACUUGACUGUCCCAAAAUCAAGCAAAAAGAUGACAAAAUACGGGCCCAAAGCUGCUGGACGCGUACUAUUCAUUGCGCGCGAGAAACUUUGAAAUUUUGUUUUGGAAAAACUUAUAAGCUCAAAUCAUGAUCCAUAAAAUCCCACGGCUCCACAACCCCUAAACUACCAUUCCUACAAAAAUACACGGCCUAACGACUCCAAAAUCGGACUUCGCUGCUCAAUUUUCCAAAAAUUCCGAAUUUGAACCCUAAACCUAUAAACUGCUUCAAUUGGACGAAUGGGGGGCCUGAUCUCUUACCGGGUGCUGCAUUAUGGGGUCGAGUUGGCUUGGUGAGACAUCUGAGGCGUGCAUGUGCCAAAACUCCUUUCCUUUCUCCUUCUUCUUCUUUUUUUUUUUUUUUUUGGUUGAGGACCCCUCAGCUUCUAUUUAACCGAGCCCUAACUUUUCAACUUCUUUUUAUAUUUUUUCUUUUGGGGCCCAGUAGCCAAAUAUUACAUUCUACCUUCCUAAAAAAAAAAUUCGUCCUCGAAAUUUACAUGUACUUCAAUCAUAAAACAAGUGAGGGUAUUUGUGUCAUGCCUCCUCCUCAAGUUCCCAAGUAGCCUCUCUCUCGGUGUGGUUUUGCCAUUGUAUUUUCACAUAAGGAAUAGUUCGUCGCCGCAACACCUGAUCCUUCUUAUCGACAAUGCAAAUAUGUUGUUCCUCAUAUGUCAAGUUCUCCCGUAAUCUCAAUGGAGUAAAGUCUAGCACAUGUUCAGGAUUUGCACAUAUUUCCGCAACAAAGAGACAUGGAACACAUUAUGGACACCUGAUAGUGCCGGUGGCAAAGCUAAUUUAUAAGCGACUUCACCAAUUUUCUCUAAGAUCAAGAAUGGUCCCAUGUACCUUGGACUUAACUUCCCACGUGUGUCAAAUCUCGUUACACCCUUCGUAGGAGAAACUUUUAAGAACAUGUGAUCCCCCACAUUAAAUUCUAACUUGUGUCUUUUUAGAUCAGCAUAACUUUUCUGACGAUUUUGAGCCGUUCUGAGACGUUCUCGAACCAACCUAACUUUCUCUUCUGACUGCUGGAUGAACUCAGAGCCAGUUAGUCUUUUCUCACCAACGUCAUCCCAAAAAAUAGGACUUCUACAUUUUCGCGCCAUCUUAAUACUGGAGUGAUAAUUGUUGUUAUAAGAAAAUUCUGCCAAAUAUAGAUGUUCAUCCCAAGAACCGCCAAAGUCAAUGAUGCAUGAUCUCAACAUAUCCUCUAAUGUCUGGAUCGUUCUCUCUGAUUGUUCAUCUGUUUGUGGAUGAAAAGCUAUACUUAAGUUGAGUUUAGUGCCCAAUGUUGCUUGCAAACUCUUCCAAAAGUUAGACACGAACCUAGGAUCCCUAUCAGAAACAAUGCUUACAGGAACUCCAUGAAGCUUCACUAUCUCAUUAACAUAUCGCCUUGCCAUAUCUUCCAUUGAAAGACCAAAUUGAUAUGACAAAAAGUGAGUGGACUUAGUUAAUCAAUCACUGUUCACCCAAAUAGAAUUCCUACCACUUGGCGUCCUCGGUAGACCAACUACAAAGUCCAUGGCAAUAUGCUCCCACUUCCAUUUAGGUAUCUUUAGAGGUUGCAACUAUCCACCUGGUUUAUGAUGUUCAAUUUUCACUGGCUGAUAAACUAAACAUUGAUCAACAAAUUUUAUAAUAUCAUUUUUCAUGUUGAUUCACCAAAAGUUUUUUCUCAAGUCCCUAUACAUUUUAGUGCUUCCCGGAUGAAUUGAAAAUCUAGUACUGUGAGCUUCUUGCAGGAUCUCCUUUUUUUAGCUUUGAGUCCUCAGGAACACAUAGUCGACCACGAAACAUCAAGGAUCCAUCUAUAUGUAAACUAAAUCUGCUUGUCUUCUAGCUUCCACAGCUUCUCUAAUUUUUUGUAAUUGUGGAUCUUCAUUCUGUUUAGCCUUAAUUAUGUUAAUCAACAUAGGUUGUACUUGAAGAUUAGCUAAUUGAGCACCAAGCUGCUGCACCAACACCUCUAAGUCUAACUUCCUCAUAUCUUCAAGAAUGGGUUUUUAAGAAGUGAGCAAAGCUACCAUAUUUCCAAAGGAUUUACGACUUAAAGCAUCCGCUACCACAUUAGCCUUACCCGGAUGGUAAUUAAUGGAUAAGUCAUUAUCCUUCAAAAGUUCUAACCAUCUUCUUUGCCUCAUGUUCAGUUCUUUCUGAGUAAAAAUAUACUUUAGACUCUUGUGAUCGGUAAAGGCUUCACAUUUUUCACCAUACAAAUGAUGCCACCAUAUCUUCAAGGCAAACACAACCGCCGCUAACUCCAAAUCAUGAGUGGGGUAGUUCUUCUCAUGUAAUUUCAAUUGUCUAGAAGCAUAGGUAACAACUUUGCUAUUUUGCAUAUGAACACAACCCAAACCUUCUUUGGAUGCGUCGCAAUAGAUUAUGAAGCCACCACUUCCAAAAGGUAGAGUUAGAAUAGGAGCCGACACCAGCCGUCUCUUCAACUCUUGAAAACUGCGUUCACAUUGGUCUGACCAUUCAAAUUUAACUUUCUUCUGGGUUAGACGGGUAAGUGGACUAGCAAUCUUUGAGAAUCCCUCUACAAAUCGCUUAUAGUAGCCGGCUAGCCCAAGAAAACUUCUCACUUCUAUAACAUUAGUUGGACGAUUCCACUUAACAACUACUUCAACCUUCUUUGGAUCCACUAAUAUGCCAUCCUUCGAGAUCACGUGACCCAAGAAUUCUAUAUGAUCAAGCCAAAAAUCACACUUACUAAAUUUGGCAUACAACUUCUUUUCAUGUAAAGUCUGCAAGACAAACCUCAAGUAUUGUUCGUGUUCCUCUAAACUCUUUGAAUACACUAGGAUGUCAUCAAUGAACACCAUAAUAAAUUUGUCUAGAUAUUCGUUGAACACUUUGUUCAUCAAGUCCAUGAAGGCAACAAGCGCAUUUGUUAAUCCAAAAGGCAUGACGAGAAAUUCAUAAUGGCCAUACCUUGUUCUAAAAGCAGUUUUAGGCACAUCAUCUAUUUUUAUCUUCAACUGAUGAUACCCAUAACGAAGGUCAAUCUUGGAAAAUACCUGAGCUCCCUGAAGUUGAUCAAAUAAAUCCUCAAUCUGAGGCAAAGGAUAUUUGUUUUUAACCGUUACCUUGUUAAGCUCUUGAUAAUCUAUGCAAAGCUACAUACUACCAUCCUUCUUUUUCACAAAUAGAACAGGAGCUCCCUAAGGCGAAACACUAGGUCUGAUGAAACCCUUAUCUAAAAGCUCUUCAGUUGCGUUUUCAAUUCUUUCAAUUUAGUGGGUGCCAUCCGAUAUGGUGCCUUAGAGAUUGGUGCUGUACCGGGCAUCAAUUCAAUACAAAACUCAAUUUCUCUAUCAAGAGGCAAUCCUGGUAAAUCCUCAGGAAACACACUUGGAAACUCUCUAACGACAGGAACAUCUUCCAACUUUACUACAACCUUAUGUGUGUCUUUUACACAAGCUAAAUAACCACAACAACCCUUUCUCAAAAGUUUCCUUGCUUGCAAAGCCGAGAUCAACCUUGGAGAAGUGUUUUGACAACUUCUCGAAAAAGAGAAUUCGGGUUGAUUCGAAAAUCUAAAUAUCACUUUUUUUGAAAAACAGUCAACAAUAGCACGAUAGGUAGAUCACCAAUCCAUUCCUAUAAUAACAUCGAAAUCUCGAAUAUUUAACUUUACUAGAUCCAGAGGCAUUUCAACAUUAUUAAUCUGAAUCACACAUCUCUUGAACACAUGAUGAACAACUAAGAAAUCGCCAGUAGGAGUAUCAACACACAAUUCACAUUCAAGAGGGUCAGGCAACACAUCAAGCUUCUUUGCAAAUUCAGUUGAAAUGAAGAAGUGCGUAGCACCAGGAUCAAAUAAGGCAUAAGCACAUUGUGAGGCAAUAGAAAUAUUACCUGCAACAAUUGCGUUAGAUGCUGCCGCAUCCUCCUUCGUCAUCGCAAAAAAUUUCUCACUUGUACUUUGUCUUUGUUGGUUCUCUUGGGGCCUACCAACGAAAGGGGUAUUCCUCCGCAUGGAACACUGGUGUGCUAGGUGGCCUUGUUGCCCACAUAGAUUACAUGAUCUAUUGCCAAUAGGAUGAUUCCUUUGUGUAGAACAAUCUCGCAGCAUGUGUCCCGCUUUCCCACAUGAGAAGCAUACUUCAGUUUUCCAAUGACACUCACUGCGAUGAUAACUUCCACAUGUAUUACAAGGGCCUUGGUUACUCGAAUUUCUGAACUAUCCUGGCUGGCUGAAACCUCUUCGCCUUCCACUACCAUCAGUAUGGCUACCUUGUACAUUUGUGGGCUUAAACCUUUUGGGUUGAGGCGCUCCUUGUGUGCCAUGCUUCAGAAUGCUUUGUUCCACCUUGAUUGUCCGUUCUAGCACAUCCUUAUAAGUUUUUAAUAUGAAAGGUGCAAGUGCAGAAUUAAUUUCAGGUCGGAGCCCUCCUAGGAAAUGGUCGUUCUUAUCUUCCUCAUUUGCUACCAAGUGCUAUGUAAAUGUACUCAACUGAUUAAAGCACCGUGGAGUCACCCUCAGAUAUAUGUACAAAGUCACCCUUCAUCUUUGCUUGGAAUGACUUUGGGAAGAAUUGAGCAUUGAACGCCUUUUUAAAGUCCUCCCAGGAUAUAAUAACAUCCCUACCUCCAAGACUUGGCUUCAUUCCAUCCCACCAAAACUCUACUUCACCUUCCAGGUAUUGGGUGGCAAAUUGAACUUUUCGAUCCACGGGAACCUCUUCAGCUUCAAAGAUCCCAUCAAUCUUUUUAAUCCAACGCUUAGUCGCAAGAGGAUCAGCUUUCCCAUCAAAAGUGGGUGGUUUUGCCUUUCUUAAAUGGCAAAAGUGCCUGAGCCAGUCACUCCAUCUCCAGUUAAUUCUUUUGCUUGUUGAUACCAAUGGAUCAUUGCUUGUUCAAAUUCAGUUGAACGGGUUGGCUCUUGAUCCUCUUCUUUGACUUCGCGCAAGUUAGGACUCCUAUUAUAGUGGUCCUCAAGUCUCCUUCUCAAAAACGCACCUCGAGAAGCUUGAGGCAUGUCUCUAGCCUCAGGGGUAGCGACUCGUUUGCCUUUGCGGCUCCUACGAAGCGAGGCAAGUGUCUCAAAGUUGGUACUCAUGAUCACCUGAAUCUAAUAAUGAAACUACACCUUAGAAUCUAGAAGACUAACGCAAAAAUAAAAUCUAUCACACAACCUCACAACAUCCCAUAACUACAUCCAAAAAGAUCAAAACUUAGGCUCUGAUACAAAAAAUGUCACACCCCAAAACUACAAAGAAUGAGGAUGACACGGCCAUCAUUCCACACGAAUGACGCGACCUCAAACACAACCAACAAACUGAUAUCAACUUAUAUAUAUCUCAAACCAUAUAUAUACAUAUAAGAUAAACCAACAAAUUGGUUGCAAUAUCAGAGUUUCUAUAAUCCACUAAAAAAAAUAUACGUUUAAAACUCAGACAAUACAACCACUAGUAAGGAUCAUGUGCACCACUUCUUUAAACCAUACCAAAGAAAAUAAAAAUAGAACUCCUCAAAAGUUUCCCACCAACGGCCCUCUCGCUCUAUUCGCCGCUAACCGAGGAACUUGAAAAGAUUAAAGGAGGAGUGGGAUGAGCAACAACAGCUCAGUGAGUAGUACAUCUCUUCUAAGCAGAUUGAACAACCAUUAUGCAUGUAUAUAAAGUAAUACCAAACUUCAUAAUGCCAACUCAAUAUAUAAAAUACAUAUCGAAUCUUAUAAGAGUUAUUUCUUAUCAUCAAAGCUUAAUAAUAAUAUGGAAAACUCAUUUAAAUCGCCAUCAAAAGUCAAGUAUCAAUGGUCAAAUCCAUUGAAUAAUCUCCAUCAAAAACACAUAUCAAUGAUCUAUCCAUUCAUUCAUCUCAUAUCAAACACAUAUUGAUGGUCCAUCCAUCGACCAAUCUUUUGCUCAAUAACUAACCAUGGUCACAACACAACGCCUUGUGACAAGGCGACCGAGAUUUCCCCUUGGCAAGGUCUCCACCUACAAAGUCGAUGGCUGGGCCCAGAAGGAUAUCCCAAAUCUAGUAUGCAUACCCCAAAAAGCCCUCACUGGGUUCACAGUCAUAUUGAGCAUAAUAACCAUUCUCCAAUACCAGAAAAUCCAAUCAAGAAAUCAAUAUCUUAAACUAAACGAAUAACAUUUGCGGCAUAGCCCAUCAUCCAUUUCAUAUCAAUUUCUCAAAUCAUCAUAAACCCUUUCAUGAAUCAAUCGCAAAGUAAUUUCAUAUAUAUUUCUCCACUUACUUUGUAUAAUACACUUUUCAAACAUCCACAAUCAACCAAAGAGUAACAAUUGCUCAAUCUGGCUUUUAUGCAAUACAAAUGCUCUUCUCGAUUCAAUAUAUAUAUACUUCAAGACAUGAUUUUUACAAAACCAAAGAAGAUAUAGUACGACUCACAUUGUCGUCUACAACCAAACGACGAACGAUACUCGUAUCGUGGAAUUCAAGGCCCUAUCAAAUAACCAAGAAAAAUGUUAAAAUCUAAUAAAACUCUAUCUCAAUUACGAAACAACUAAAUUACGCCUUAACUCUAACAAAAAGACUUCUACGCGCUAACAAUUCGCAUAACCAAAACGAUUGUUCAAGCCAGUCGUGAUGCGGAGUUUAAGCGCAAAACUUAGUUACGCAAUAACUUCCUCCUCCAAACCCCAUUCUGAACGUACUUAUAGUCAAUAGAGAGCCCUUGACAAAUAUUACAAGAAUCCCAACUUGACCAUCCCAAAAUCAAGCUGAAAGAUGACAAAAUACGAGCCCAAAGUUGCUGGACGCGUACUGUUCACUGCGCGCAAGAAACUUUGAAAUUUUGUUUCGGACAAACCAUAUGCUCAAAUCACGAUCCGUAAAAUCCCACGGCUUCACAACACCCUGAACUACCAUUCCUACAAAAAUACACAGCUCAACGACUCCAAAAAUGGACUUUGCCGCUGGAUUUUCUAAAAGUUCCGAAUUUGAACCCUAAACCCAUAAACUACUUCAAUUGGAUGAACGAGGAGCCUAAUCUCUUACCGGGUGCUGUGUUAUGGGGUCGAGUUGGCUUGGUGAGGCGUUCAAGGUGUGCACGUGCUAAAACUCUUUUCCUUUCUUCCCCUUUCUCUUCUUUCUUUUCUUUCUGGUUGAGGACCCCUCAGCUUCUAUUUAACCGAGCCCUCUCCUCUCUUCUUUUUACUUUAUUGACUUUUCAACUUCUUUUUAUGUUUCUUCUUUUGGGGCCCACUAGCCAAAUAUUACACCUUCCCACCGAGUCAAGUCAAUGUCGCCCCUACCAUCUUCUACGUCUCGACGUGAGGAAGUUAUUGUUGCCCGAGUGACACAUGUAAUGACGCCUUGAGGCCCUCCAUCUUUUCCUUAUCACAACUUGUCCCGUUCUUGCACCGAUUCCUCACUCCUAGUGCGUCCCACUUUCACCAGAUUUCUGAGGAAGAAAGGAAAAUGUCGAGCUCUCAGUGUUUUGAGAACCCACCAAACCUGAGCUCCACUUGCGGAGCAGGACACGUUGAAGAGCUUGCAGGUCUCAAGACUUACGUCACCGGCCCUUCCGAUUCCAAGCGUGCUGUUCUUCUCAUCGCCGAUGUUUUCGGUACUGGCCCAUUUCUUUAAUUUUGAUUUUGUGGUGUUUCUCUCAGUUGGGUCUUUUCUUUUGGUCAAUUAUGUAUAUCUCCUUGGUUCUUUGUCGUUCUUGUGCUUUUCGAUUGGUCCAUGAUAUUGCUGCUUGAUUGAUGAUCUUUGCUCAUCUGUUUGUGCAGGGUAUGAGGCUCCUAAGCUGAGGUAUGGAAUCUUUCUCAAGUUGUUCUAUGUAUAUGUUGUUCUCUAGUGCCAUCUUUUGACGUUUCAUGGUGAAUAAACUCUGUAUUCUCCGGAUAGCAUACAUUUGAAAGCUUUGCUUUUCCGUUCACCUUUCACCUGUGAUGACGAAGAGCAUUAGAUGGCACUUGAGGGCGAAGCCAGUUCAUUCUGGAUGAGUGUGUUUGGCGUUCUUCUGUUCCAAGUUAAAACAUCAUUUGUUGAAUUGUAUAUACACGCGGGACUUCAUGGCAUAGUCCAGCUGACAUUUUAUAUACAUCGCUUGAUUCAAUAUGAAUCACAGUUUUCUUUGUUCUAAUGAUUUCUGCUACUAAUAUGACUCAGCUGGUCAUGUAAUUCGGUUUCAUCUUGAGAUAGAGUUAUCCUUAGUUGCAACACCAAAAUCACAUAAGCUGGGGUUGCCUUCUUGACAGUCCCGGCAUAAUUCUAUGUUUUAACAAGAUUGAGAAUGAUAAGAGUUACCUUUUCAAAUUGUCAUACUUAUUUGCGGAAUGCUUUCGUUGUGUAGGAAACUCGCAGAUAAAAUUGCAUCCGCGGGAUUCUUGGUGGCUGUACCUGAUUUCUUUUACGGAGAUCCCAUUAUUGAUUUCACUAGUCCUAAUUUCAAUUUUGAAGCUUGGUUUAAGAAUCACGGCACGGUGAGUUUUUCACUCCUUCAGGCUGUGAAAGUGUGACAGUACAUUUAGAAGUUCAGAGGAAACAAGGGGCUUUCUACUGUGCAAACUUGAUUUGUAGACUCGAAUCACACGGUGUAAGUUGCAUUGGUAUUUAGACCUGGUUGGAGAUUGCUGGUCAUUUCAAAGAUUUUCGACGCCCAGCAAGAUCUUUAUUAUAUAAAAUUCCAAAUGCAAAACAUGAAACAGCAUAAGUAGAAUAAAAGCCUCAUGAAUUUUGAUGUUACCGACUUUUAGACAGUCUUUUUAUAAACGUUUACUUAAUUUGCUUCUUUAGGAUAAAGGGCAUGAAGAUGCCAAGCCAGUGAUUGCUGCUCUUAAGAGCAAAGGUGUGUCUACCAUUGGGGCUGCAGGAUUUUGUUGGGGAGGUAAAAUUUUCUGAAUUCACUUUCCCAGUUUUGAGGGGGUUGUUGGGUUAAGAAAUGGGAAAUUUGUUCUAGUUGGAAAUUGUGAUCCAUUUUCUCUAAAAAAAUCUAGAGCUACUAACUUAAUCAUUAAGGUGAGAACCUUCUAGAAUUGUUGAGAAUGGAGAUUGCUAGUUGAAUCUAGAAAAUUCACAUGGGAAUGCAAGCAAGCAACAGCCAAGCAUCAAAGAAAAUCCUAGAACAAGUAAGAGGAGUCUAGAGAAGUCCAUGCUUCAAGAGAAGUCUAGAAUUCUAGAAUGCUUCAAGAGAAGUUUAGAAUUCUCUAUCUUAUGUUAGUAGCUAUUUGUAGAGAAGUGUAGAGACUUCCUCCACCUACUUUGGCAGCCUAUAUAAAGGAGCAAGUGCUCCAUGUUUUGGUGAAAGGGAGCUAACCAUAAAAACCACAUCAUGCUCCCUCACCAACACUUCCUUCAACUAUUGUAAAAUUAUUUUAUCCAACUAAUGAAACUAUUUUUGUCCCAUAAACCUUCUCAAAAUAUCCCAUAUCCCAUGUUCUUUAUCCUUUAAUUAUCCUAAUUUAUCCCUUGUCCAUCCUCUACAAACUAUAUCAUACACUUGCACACAACAUCACUAAUAAAAAACUAUCAUCAAUACCAAAACCAUACUUCCGCGCAUAUUUAUAUUUUUAACAGUUCUACAUUGACCAUUGAGAAACUAGUUUUGUUGACUUGCAGAAAAGUUCUUUCAAGUUGUUAAAAAGAGCUUGCCUAUUCUUUUCAGGAGUGGUGCUGGUGAAAUUAGCAGGCACUGAAGACAUUCAAGCAGCAGUUAUUCUGCACCCCGGUCCUAUGACCGAAGAUGCAAUCAAAGGUAAAGCUAUGCCAAUAAACAUGGACUUGCUAUUUUCUUCUCAGCCGCAGCGAUAUAAUUUCUUCAUGAGGGUAUAAGACUUGGUACUUGGCACGGGAGCCUUUAUCGCCUAUUAUGAAAUGCUCAUGAACAAUUAAAUUAUAUGAAUUCUGAUGGGAGUCUGCAAUGCAGCCAAGAGUGACGAAGAAACUCGCUAUAACAUGUCCGGUCAAUCACAAAAAAUCGAUGGCACGACUUUUGUCUACUUGAGAAGUGUUCCUUAAACUGGAAGCCUUAAAAGACCUUAUUUUCUUCUGUUCUUUGUUCAGCUGUCAAGAUUCCAACUGCUAUAUUGGGAGCUGAGAUCGACCAUUCUUCCCCGCCGGAACAACUGAAAAAGUUUGGGGAGAUCAUGUCGGCUAAAACUGAAGUAAGCUUCUUAGGAUGCUUUUCGUUGGUUGCAAACCUAUUGUCAGAAAAUGCAAUCGUUUUUCCACGUUCCCAUCAUUUCGCUUGCAAAGCACUUUCCCUUCCUGGUUAUUUAUACACAUCGCUAAUUCAAAGACCCCGGUUUUGCAGUUUGAGAGCUAUGUGAAGAUAUUCCCUGGUGUUAGUCAUGGAUGGAGUGUGAGGUACGACGACGACAAUGAAUUGGUGGUCAAGAGCGCCGAAGAGGCCCAAGAAGACACUUUGAAUUGGUUCUUGAAGCAUGUCAAGUGAAGAGAACAGAAGGCAUUGAAGCAGAACAUUCUGACGGAAGCAGUAGAUGACAGUAUUGUGUGAGACGAACAGUUUGAGGACUAGUCAUCUAUUGUAAUAUCUGGCGAGGGAACAAUGUACUGUGCUGUUGAUACUUAGAGAAAUAAAGACAUUAGUUUCAUCGCUUAAACUUGGAAGAUUGAAAACGAAAUAUAUCGCCUAGAGUUGUAUCGUGGCGAUUUUCGUGGCGAUUUGGGUGCAUUUUCUAUUCGAAUUGAUCAGAGGUGUUCACUGUCCAUUAAAUGAGGACCACACAAUGGAAUAUGAAACAGCAUAUUCGUUUCCAAUCCCAAGGAUAUGUUAUUUGCAUGGUUACCACCAAGUCAUCAGCUAAAGUGGCUAGUAUCUAAUGUAAUCUCUAGACCACUUAAUUUUAAAUGCAUCCAUUAUAUUAUAAGUUAUAACUUGACAAGUAUGCGAGCAAUUAAGAUUUCAUUAAAAGAUACACGAUCUCAAAAUCGCAUGCCCCAAGAAAAAAAGAAGAAGAGAUGAAAGUAAGGAUAUGGAGAAAAAUAGUAUCCAAAAUAUAUGAGAAACCAACUAUUUGAACUUAUGACAAAAGCGAAGCGUUUGUUUUUGGUCAAGUCUAUAUGCUAGUAGGUCAAGAUUUUUCGAAACUAAGUCAGAUAGACAUGGAAAAAUUCGUCCUUCAUGUAUAUGGUAUAUAUUUUCGCAAUGUGCAUUUGUAUACUGACCAAAAAAUUUCAGCUUUUGGCCAGAUGGUGUUUUUUUGUGAGAGAACGCAUGUCUCCAUCGGGCUAAAUAUAUUAUGGUUUCGUCUUUGUUCGUUUCUCGUCUGUUUCUCACCGGCCCUCUUUCUUGUUUGACAUCAGCAGUGACGUUAAUACGAACCACGAGACCUUUGAUGACUAAUCUGAACCAUAAGAUUACACGGACACCUUUUUCAGACACUGUGAUAUUGUAUCGCGGAUAAGCCAAUGGUUUUCAGAAGGCAAAGCAUGAUUCCACUUAGCGACCAGUGAAUCACCGUAUCAUCUCUCGUCUCUUGGCUCUGUUCUUACCUCGGAAAGAAUAAAGAAACGAAGAAAAAGACCAUGAACAGUAAACAAUGAAAGAAAAGAGAAGAAAAGAUCAAAAUAUCUAUAAUUUUUUUCAAAACGACGUCGUUUUGAGUGGAGUUGUGCAUGUCAAUAUCACUAACCCUUGCCAUGUAAGAUGACAAGCAUUGAUUUGCACCUCUACAUCAGAAUUUCCUGACAUAAAUUAGUUGGAUAGACAAUAUUACAAAAUUGUUGAAAGGUUCAUGACUACACUAGCCGAAUUGGUCAGUUUAUUACAAAAUUGGAACUUGUACAAUUUGUUCACAGCUUUUGGGUAGUUUUUCCCAUCUUAAGUAAGUCGUAAUUCUAAUACAUGGACGCAUAAGCUCUAUGCUUUUCUUAUUAUGAAGGUUGAAUUCCAUUUGAAGGUUAGGUAAUCGUUUUCUGGUUUAGGUAUUUAUUUUUUGUCCUAUGGUGAAUUAGGUGAUGCUUUUUUCGCCUCGUUGGGACAGAGAAAACUGCUUUGUCUCCAAUCCGGCAACUUCCAUAUUGCUGAACCUGGACAUGAAUUUAGUAUCUGUAACACAAUUGUUGAAAUAACCUAAUGAAAAAACCUAGAUUGGUCGAAAUUGGUUGAUUUGGGUCAUCUAGGAACCGGCUUGUUGAAUUAAAGUCUAUCGAACCCAUUGGUUGAUCCAGGCUGAAAUUGGAUUAGUCCACUUAUCAAUUGCGUUAACAUGUCAGGGCUCAACAGCCGGCAAUUAUCUGGAUUUGUAAGAAAGAUCCAUGCAUAGCCGGUGAUGGGCCUUUCUCUCUGGGAAAUUGGACAUUGCUGAAAAAUGCUUUCAAAGAUCUUUCUAUUGGAGUUUUCGAAGUUCUCCAUAUCCACCAAAAAUGUUUAAUUUUUACUAGUUCAGAUUUUCAAAUGAGAUAAAAAAAAAAUCAUUUUGAGAUGUUUGCUUUCAAAAGUUUCUAAAAUAAGUUUCUAAAGAAAAAUACUCGAGUUUAGCGCACAUCAGACGAUCCCUUCCUCGAGACUGUGGAGUGGUUCCUCGGGUCCAAGAUUCGGGGACAAGGGGGUAGGUUUCCCAAGUUCAAGCACUGGAUUCUACGCACUCCCGAGGCUAAGUACGAGGCAUCGGAAGUAGGGGACCGAGGUCCCAUCUUGCUCUGUUACGUAGUGGCGAGUGUUGGGGUCCCUGGUUCAACGCACCAACGUCCCGAGUCCAGCUACUGAAGUUUCAGGACUAAGCAUGGUGGUCUUGAAUUUGACCCACAAGCACCCAAGAUAUUGGGUCCUAGCACUUGGUUCCUAAGUUCGACCCUAAGGUCCUAUGUUUCGCAGCUGAAGUUCCCUAUCUCCAUAGAUGAGGCGAUCGGGUUCUCGAAUUUAGAUGAUAAGGUCUUGGUUUAGCCUUAGGUCAAGGGCAUGGGGAUUGGGGUCCCAAGUUCAAGGUCGAUGACACGGGCGUGUAUUUUAAAUAUUAUAACUUUUUACUAAGUUCCUUGAUAUUUAACAUAUGCUAGGAUAGAAUUUCUUUGUAAUUUAAUUAGAAUUUCAUUAGUUCUUCAAAUAUGUUAAGUUUUCUUGUUAUAUAAAAUAUUGAGAGUUUUCCUCUGUUGCAUUCAUGUGUGUGCGCCAUCGUGUGUAGUGCGAGUGUUCACUUGUGUUGGCAAAUUGCCACUUGUGCAAUCACUCUUUUAUGUUACAUUAAACGGGUCCGGCAUUUGAGCACCGAUGUCUCAAAUUCAACCUUAAGAUGCAAAGCCCGGCCUGUCACACCCCAAAAACUACAAAGAAUGGGGAUGACACAAAGGUCCUUCUUUACAAAGGACGUAGCCUCAAACACAACCAGCAAACUGAUAUUAACUUAUAUAUAUAUCAGAUAAACCUUCAAAUUGGUUGCAACAUCAGAGUUCCUAUAUGUUGGAGAAAUCUUCCUGGAGUAUUUUGAAGCUGAUAAAACGUUUCCAUCAGUCUAGUCUGAAGAUUUGCAGACUCUACUAUUUAAAGUCUGAAGACCUCUGGACUGCCAGACUCAAGACUCAAAGUCUAUUCUCAUUGACAGUUUCUAAUCCGUCGAAGAAGGGCUAUCCAAGACUGGAUGUUUCGUUAAGGAUUUGACCUUAUCGACUGGAGAAGAUCGCUUGGCUAGAUAUGACAUAACGGAAUCCUUUAUUGACUCAAAGAUUGAGGAUCCGAUGAUUGGCGGAGUAUACUUGGAAGGUUCUACUUAUGGAAACCGAGAUCCUGAUUGUAUAGGCGAGCAGGAUUGAUGGGCUAUCGACAUGUUCCUUAAAUAGCUUGAAUGAUCUUCCUAAUUGAUUCUGUCAAACGGGAAGAUUGGAAGAAUUUAUUUGGUAAGUGCCGACGGGUAUGAUGGCAUAAAGGAGUAUAUAAGGAAGACGUUCCAGUUGUUCAAGUGUGUGUGCGAUAGAAGAAUUCCAAAGUCUGAAGCUCUUUGUUCUUAGUCAAUUCAUUUUCUGAGCAAAAUCUUGUAUGCAAAAGAGAGUCCAUAUUCUUGAGAAACCUUGAGGAAGUGUGCUAGAGUAUCUACACUGUGGAAUCAAGGGAAAGCCUUGCUGUAACAACUCUUUUGUUCAUAGUGAAAUCCAGCCGGUGGGCUGUCAAUGUGGAAGAGUGGACGUAGGCUUGGAAUAAGCCGAACCACUAUAAUUUCUGUAUUCAUUUUCUCUUCCCUACUCUCUGCUUUACUUUGAUCAUAAUUCGCUUUGUUAACGAAAGGAGAACUUCCUUUCUAUUGUCUGCUUAGUAUUGCUCUCUUAUCUCGAGAAAAUAUUUUUUACACCUAUUCACCCCCCUCUAGGUGCUUAUACUAGAUAUCUCAAUUGGUAUCAGAGCCUGUGUACUCACUUUGUUUGAAGUGUUUUACUUUAGAGUUAAAGAUCCAUGGCUAGUAUGUUAGCUCCAGGGCUAGUAGAAGGGCAAAGCAAUACCAGACCACCUUACUUUGAUGGAAAUGAAUACAACAUAUGGAAAAACAAGAUGAAGGCGUUCCUAAGAUCAAAGGAUCCUCUGGAAUGGGACGUUAUAGACAACGGAAUCAUUCCUAAAGCUGCACCUGUCUUAGAGAGAGGAAAAGAAACUGUUGAGUCUAGUGAAAUGACUUAGGAAGAGAUAACCAAGAGACAAGCUCUUGAUGCAAAAGUAAUUUAUUCUUUAUAUUGUGCUUUGUCACCUACUGAAUAUAACAGAUUAUCUUCUUGUGUUACAGUGAAAGAAGUUUGGGAUAGAUUACAUAUUACCUAUGAAGGAACCGAUCGAGUGAAAGAAACCAGAAUCAACAUUCUCCUCGGUCAAUACGAAACCUUCAAAAUGAAAUCAGGAGAAUCUAUAACUGAAAUUGUGAAUGGUCUUGAAAAUCAAGGUCAACCAAUUUCUGAUCCCAUGAAAGUAAACAAGCUACUGCGUGGACUCUCCAAGGAUUGGAAUCACAUAAAGACCUCAAUAAGGGAGACACAAAGAAUUAUGCCACUAUCUGUCGAUGAGUUAGUUGGGACUCUUCAGUCUUAUGAAGUGGAACGAAUCAAUGAAGACGAAGAUCCUAAAGGUAAGAAAUCCAUUGCAUUAAAAUCCAAUGAUGAUUAUGAUGUUACAGAUUCUGAAGACGAUAUGGAUGAUGAGGAGCUUGCUCUCAUGAUAAGAAGAUUCAGAAAGCUGUACAGAAAAGGAAGAAGAUUCAAUCCAAAGAAACAAAGUUUUCAAAAGUAACAGACUAAGUUUGUUGAGGAUGAUGAAUCAAAUAGAGAUGUAGUCUGCUUUGAAUGUAAGAAACAUGGACACAUCAGACCCAACUGUCCUCUUCUGAGGAAGAAGAAAGGAAAAACUAAAAAGUAUCGAAAUGCUCUUAAAACAGAAACCUGGAGUGAUACAGAAUGUGAAGAAAGUGAUGAUGAUUAUGCCAAUAUAUGUCUGGUGGCACAAUCGGAUUUAGAUUCAAAUUCCAAGACAGACUCAGAUUCAGACAGUGAAGUUGAGGUGAGUAACUCUAAAAUCCUUAUUAAAGUUUCUAAAUACAUUGAUGAGUUGUGUUUUAGUCUUAAGACUUCUCUUAAAAUGAUUUCCGAACUUAAAAAGGAAAAUUCUGCAUUAAAACAACAGGAAAAUGUUUUAAAAGAAAAGGUGAAAUGUUUAGACAUGAAUGUUUCUACUCUUAAAGAAAGAGAAGACAACCUUUCGAAAGAAAAUGUAUUUUUAAAAAAUGACAUAUCAAAUAUUUCCAAAAGAUUUUCAAUAGGAUUUGAGAAACUUGAGAAAAUUCUUUCAGCACAAAGACCUUAUUUCAAUAAAUCUGGUUUGGGAAUGACUGUGGAAACCAUUCCUUUAAUUGAUUUUCCUAAAGUGAAGGAAAGAAUUAAGCAAAGACCCAUAAGAGAUGCUUACAAAAAUCAUUUUAAAAAGGUCUUUGUAAAACCAAUAGGUCUCAAUGCUCUCAGAUGUUCAAAGUGCAAUAGUUCAGAUCAUUUUGAGAAAGAAUGUCCUAUGGUUUUGAAACCUGUUAAAAAAGUAUGGGCAAAAACUGCAUAUCAUACUAACACCAAUGGACCCAAUAAAAUAUAGGUACCAAAGAAAGUUUGAGUCUCUUUUUUAAAUGCAGGUCACUAUCAAGAAGAAGGUAAAAUGGUAUCUAGAUAGUAGAUGCUCAAGACAUAUGACAGGAGAUUCAAAUUGCUUCAUAAAGCUCAUUCAAGUAAAUGGUGGAAAAGUAUCAUUUGGAGGAAACAUCAAAGGAAGAAUUGUGGGAUUUGGAACUGUAAAUAUUGAAAACCUCACAAUCAGCAAUGUUUCCUUAGUGGAAGGACUCAACUACAAUCUGCUCAGUAUCAGUCAGUUGUGCGAUACCAGUUUCAAAAUCAACUUUCAAGAAAGAAUAUGUUCAGGAACUAGUAAAGAUUCCACUCAGUCAUCAUGGGUCGAAGACAUGGAAAUAUCUACCUCUUGGACGUGAAACCAGAUGAAUCGCAAUGUCUAAUCUUAAUUCAAGACGAAGCGAACUUAUGGCACAGAAAACUUGGGCACAUCAAUAUGAAGCAAAUAGCCAAAAUUUCAGCAAAGAAGCUAGUUCGUGAUCUACCCAAUCUGUCAUACCAAAAGUCUGAUCUAUGUACACCAUGUGUAUUGGGAAAGCAGGUAAGAAAUUCAUUUAAACCAAUAAAUCAAGUUUCCACUAAUUGUGUACUGCAGCUUCUACAUAUGGAUCUCUUUGGAUCAACCAGAACUCAGAGCAUUAGAGGUAAAAAAUAUUGCCUAGUAAUUGUGGAUGACUACUCACAAUUUACUUGGGUAUAUUUCCUGACAAGUAAGUCUGAAACAUUUAUUUACUUUGAAAAGUUUGCUAAAAAGAUUCAAAAUGAAAAAUGGUAUGAUAUUUCAAGUAUAAGAAUAGACCAUGGAGGUGAAUUUGAAAAUCAAUAUUUUACAAAAUUCUGUGAUGAAUCUGGUUUUCAGCAUGUGUUCUCCUCUCCAUAUACUCUAGAGCAAAACGGAGUUGUGGAAAGAAAGAAUAGGCCGCUUCAAGAAAUGGCUAGAACUCUUUUAAUUGAAAGUAACAUCUCUUCACGUUUUUGGGCUGAAGCAGUUUCUACAGCAUGUUAUAUUAUUAAUAGAGUUUUUCUAAGACCUAUUAUGGAAAAAAAAAACCCUAUGAGUUAUUCAAAGGAAAAAAAGCCUAUUGUUUCAUAUUUUCAUGUGUUUGGAUGUAAAUGCUUUAUAUUGAAAAAUGCAAAUGAUCGAGUUGGCAAGUUUGAAGAAAAAUCAGACGAAGGCAUCUUCCUUGGAUAUCCUACCUCAAGCAAAGCCUACAGAGUCUACAACAAGAAGACUCAAUCUGUGGAGGAAUCAAUGAAUGUCAAAUUCCAAGAUUUUAUGCAAAAUGAAUCUAUUCAGACCCAUCUUGAAGAAUCUGAACCUGCUCCAGACUCUACAAAGUCUAAAUCUCAAGAAGCAGUUCAAACUUCGAAAGACUAGCAUCAAAUGAUUGUUGAAGAUUCAAAUGAAGAAAGUGAUAAUCAACCUGACAAAUCAACCAGUAACUGGAAGCAUAAGUCUAGUCAUCCCAAAGAUCUCAUUAUAGGCGAGAUUAAUGAAGGAAUUCGCACAAGAUCCAAAAUGCGCGAAGAGUCUAGUGGUGUACCUCUUAUUUCUGAAAUAGAACCCAAAAGCAUAAAAGAAGCUUUAUCUGAUGAAAGCUGGAUUGAAGCCAUGCAAGAAGAACUCAGGCAAUUCAGUAUUAAUGAUGUCUGGGAAUUGACUCCUAAACUGAAAGAUAAAUAUAUUAUUGGAGCUAAAUGGGUUUUCAGGAACAAGAUGGACGAGAAAGGAAAGGUCGUAAGAAACAAAGCAAAACUCGUGGCCAAGGAAUAUACGCAAGAAGAAGGGAUAGACUAUGAUGAGACUUACGCACCAGUAGCGAGGUUAGAAGCAAUUAGAAUAUUACUUGCUUUUGCUUGUUAUAAGUUAGCUGUGGACUAGGAUCCUUAUGUGAAUGAUCCAGGGUCAAUUUACAACAUCCAUGUAUUGGAAUCUCUAAGCUCCCGAGAUUAUAUAUGAGGCACUAAGUAGGACACCGAGGUCUCGUCUUGCCUUGUUGUCUAGUGGCGUGUGUUGGGGUCUUAGGUUCAAGGCACUAACGUUCUUAAUCCAAGAGGUCUUGAGACUAAGCAUUGACGUCUCGAAUUUGAUCCAUAAGGGCGUGUUUGAUAACGUUUCUGUUGCCGGGAACAAUUUCUAAGCAUUUUAAGCCGUUUGGUAACUGUCCAAAAUUUCAAUUCUCGGAAUAGAAUUGCGUUUAGUACAGUGCUCAAAAUUUCUACUCCAAAUCAUUUUCUUUUAAUUUUUAAAUAUUUUUAUUAAUUUUUUUCCUUUUUUCUUCUUUUCUUUUUUCCCUUUCUUUCUCAUAUUCUUCUUCUUCAAGUGGCCAAUUGUCAACAGGUUGGUCGGUGACUGGCUAGACGAGAGUUGGCAACCUCACCGGAGCGUUGCCAACCCUUGGCGAGGACGGCCAUCGUUGGCCGAGCCUCGCUGGCAGCUGGGCAAGGCUCGGCCAAGCCUCAGCGGGGUUGGGGGAGGCCCGCUUGGCCACCGACGAGGCUCGCCUAGCCCUUUUGAGCCUCACUGAACUAGUUGCUAGUGAUUGGUGAUGGUGGGCGGCGGAUGGCGAACGGCAACCACGGCGGUGGCAGUAGAUGAAGAAGAAGAAAAGGGAAGAAGAACAAGAAAAUAAAAAGAGAAAUUGAUUUUAGAAUUGUUCCCAAGAACAAGAAUCAACCUUUUUUAUUUUUAUUUUUUUAUUCUUGAUUCUGUUCCAAAUCUACUUUCGGGAACAAAAACAUAGAAAUUUAUUUCUGAGAACAAAAUUUUUACUAAACACGAUUCUAUUCCAAAAUUGCUCAUGGGAACAAAAGAAUAUAAAUUUUUACUAUUUGGCCAGUUAGCAAACAUGACCUAAGCAAGCACCCAAAGGUCAUGGGUCUGGGCAACUGGGACCUAAGUCCAACCACAAGGUUCUAUGUUUGGUAGCCAAAGUCUCAUCUCUUCAUGGAUUCAACAGUUUGAGUUUUGAGUUAAGAUGCUGAAGGCUUGGUUCAACCCUAGGUGCUAGGGACCGCGCCCAUUGUUCCCAAGUUGAUGACAUGGGAUGCAUGUUUUUAAAUAUUAUGAUUUUUAUUUAUUCUCUUGUCUUUCUUUAUUUUAGAAAUUAUUUUAGAAUACUGGAUGAUUUGUUUCAAUAGUUAUCAUUUACAUAUUUAAGAUAUCGUGGGAUAGAAUUUCUUAUUAGUUUACAUAUUUCCUAUUAUAAAAUUAGAAUUUCCUAAGUGUUUUAGAUAUAAAUAUGCAUUGUGUUUUCUUGUAAUUUGGCUUAUUUAUUGAUGAAUAAAGGGAAAAUUUCAAAUGAGGGCAUAUGGUGCUCUCAUUUUCUCAAAUAAGUGCCUGAAGUAACCGUUAUUUUAAAUAAGGGCUAGAAAAAAAUGAAUUGACCAAAUUCUCUCGAAUAAGGACUUUUGGCUAGCCGUUGACUAUUCUGCCAUUGGAGAAAGGGUAUUUUAGUAAAAAAAGUUCUAAGUAUAUAUUUUUUAUUUUUCUCUCCUUGCCAUGCCUCAAGUGAGGGUUGCCUUUGCUGGCGUUGGGUGAGGGUGAAGGUUGCCCUUGUUAGCCCAAGUGAGGCGAUCCUUGCCAAAUGCUGGGGAGGAGGAGCCGUUGCCUGAGUCCAGCAACUUGAUGGAAAAGGGGGAAAAAAGAAAAAGAAAAUAACAAAAAAAAAAGAAAAAAAAAGGAAUUUUUGUAAAGAUGAAAAUGCCUUUCGAUCAGCAAGGUUAGCCUCUUCUUUGAGACCAAUAUGGCUACUUUAGGUAUUCAUAUGAAACAAUUUCACUUCAAGCCCUUAUUUGAGAAAAUUAUAGCACUUCAAGCCCUUAUUUAAAAUAAAGUCUACUUUAGGCCAUUAUAUGAGAAAAAAAAAAGGAACACUUUAAGCCCUUAUUUGGAAUUUUCCCAUGAAUUAAUGAAAAAAUAGUGAGGUUUUCUUUGUAGCAUUUCGUGUAUGUGCAUCGAAAUGCAUAUCAUGAGUGUUUACUUGCGUUAAGGAAUUCUCAUAUAUGCUAUCACUCAUUUAGGUUAUGUUGGGCUAUCAUAGGUGUUGUCUAGGCAUCACUUGUCUAGCAGUAGUGCUUGUUCAACACUUGUUGCUCCAUAGCUUGCAUAUAAACUAAUUCGAUUUGGAUCACCAUUGGGUUUUUAUUUCUUAACCAUACCAAUUUGCUUCUUAAAUUCACCAAUUUAUCGAAAGGUUGAAAAAAUAAAAUCCAUGCCUAAUAAUUAGGGAAAAUAAAAGUUUAAUAUCAUCUCUGGUAGGAGCUGGAUUUAUAGUGCCACUAGUGAGCAAUUUCACCCAAAAGAACAUGUUUAAUUGAGAAACCUUGAACCGACACAAACAAGGAAAGGAUUACCCACAAAGGGCAAGACAGAAAAGGUGAAAUAUAGACUCCACCUUAAAAAAAAAAACCCAAUUAUAGAUUCACCAUCAUAGCAUCCAGCCAAAAGAUGGAAAAAGGAAGGAACCCCAUCGAUUGCGACAAUCACUAUCGGAAAAUAGAUAAGCUUCGCACAACUUGUGCACUCCACAAAAUGAUUGCGCCCGUCACAAGUUAUGGAGCGCCCCAAUGUCAACAUCUUUAGGGCUAGAACGGCUUAAUUGAUAAGAAAUCAUCUUGAUUAUCAUCAAGACAACGUUGGCCUAAGAAAUCGAGUCUGAUUGGGAUUUGGAAAAAAAUGCAUAUAUUCGCGUCGAUAAUGACAUUUUACGCGCGCGGGUAACAUUUUCAAUGGUGGGAUUGGUGUAGGUCUGCGCAUCCAGAAAUGAUUGUUGCGACAAUGAGUCUUUAUCUUGAUAUUGAUUAAGUUUAACGCGUUUUUAUAAAGAGUCAAAUGAUUUAUUUUUUUUUAAAGCAAAGAAUUAAUCAUUAUUUGAUGCCUAGGGGGCCGUGCCAAACACAGAGAACGAGGAGACAUCGCCAUAGAAAAAGUUGGUACCUUGAUUUGACGGAUUUUUUCAUACUACACACAUCAACCGUUCACGUACUCCAAAGGCGGGGCCUCUCAUGCUUCGAGUCAUGAAAUACCCACAAGAAUUUAUUUGCUUUGUCACUAUAUUAUUUAUCACCUAUGUAUGUAUUUAUGCAUCAACUUAGGUGAAAAUCAUCAUAUAUAAACCGAACCACUAUGAGUCAAAUUAUUCCAUACAUACAUACAUACAUACAUAUAUAUAUAUAUAUAUGUAUAUAUGUAAAGUAUGUUUGUUUUGUGAUUUUUGCUCUAUUAAGUUAAUGUAACAUGUACAAAAGGCGAUCGUCCGACGAGUUUGAGAUUUUACAAAACACAAGCUAAAUUGUUCCCUCUAGUCAAUUUCAAAAGAGUUGGAAUAUUGCAAACUUAACGAAUUUUUAUUUUCUUUUGAAAAACAGAACACCAUUUGUCCGCACAACAAGAGGAGACAUUACCAAAUUUUGUGGACAUGCUUUGUCCGAGACCCAGCCCAUGUCCAGCAGCCCAGAUUGUGAUGGGUCCAGCCUGGACAGGCCCAUGGGGUGGCUGAUGGGCCUUGUCAAACACUAUUCAGUUGCUCUCCUAAGCUACAUAAACGAUCAACGAUAAAAUUCAAUGUCACAAGACAAUUUUCUAUCGGGCACAAUGCAAAUAAUGAGGUCCUAGAAUUAUAUAAUUGCUUUUGAGAUGCGAAGUUCUCAUUUAUCUAAAUCAAUCGUAGCAUGGCAAGUGUUACCAACUUCCUUAUCUUCUUUCAAGAUUAAUAAUAGUAUUUUUCCACAUGAUGAUCCACUUGGAUGGAUUGAAAUGUCAUACUUUGAGAGCACAUAAUUUUUUUUUUAGUAGAUAGAUAUUUUAUUCCUUCUCCUGUUUGCAUUCUAAUAUAAAAAUAUGAAUGCCGCUACCCAAUAUGCUUUCCACUUAAUGAUUGGAGCGUUGAUCUUGUUGUAAAUGCUAGAUCAUCAACUAGGCCGUCUUAAUAAAGAUUAGUUGAAGUUUGCUAUACUUAAGCUCUUUGUGAGGUGCCCAAAACGAGCUCCAAAUUGCAUAAAGACCUUUGACAUGAGCCUGUAAUUUGAAGAGACAGUCGACGUGACCCCAAGUUUUGUAUAUUUGUAAUCUUAACGCAUGUAUGUUGUGGACCUACUUGGUCGCAUCCCAUAUGCUUGGGUUUUGUCAUGUUCAAUUGGAUGUCGCCAUAUCCAAGUUUGUCAUAGCUGUCGACCUAGACUAGGUAAGAACCACAUCAAUUUGCUUCAGUCGGUCGUGAGUAAAUUAUGAGCUGGGAUAAAUGCAAGUGAAUCUCAAGUGAUGCACUGGAGAAAAUAUUUGGAAAUGCCAUCGAACCUCACCUUUUGUCACUUCUAAGUAGUUAUUGAAUGAUCGGGAACGCCUUCUGUCACACCCGAAAACUACAAAGAAUGGGGAUGACACAGCCGUCUAUCCACACGAAGGACGUAGCCUCAAACACAACCAAUAAACUGAUAUCAACUUAUAUAUAUCUCAAAUCAUAUAUAUACAUAUCAGAUAAAUCAAUAAAUUGGUUGCAACAUCAAAAUUUCUAUAAUCCACCAAAAAAGAUAUACGUUUAAAACUCAGACAAUACAACCACUAGCAGGGAUCAUAUGCACCACUUCCUUAAACCAUACCAAAGAAAAUAAAAAUAGGACUCCCUAAAAGUUUCCCACCAACGGCCCUCUCGCUCUAUUCGCUGCUAACCGAGGAACUUGAAAAGAUUAAAAGAGGAGUGGGAUGAGCAACAACAACUUAGUGAUACCAAACUUCAUAACGCCAACUCAAUAUAUAAAAUACAUAUCAAAUCUUAUAAGAGUUAUUUCUUAUCAUCAAAGCUUAAUAAUAAUAUGGAAAACUCAUUUAAAUCGCCAUCAAAAGUCAAGUAUCAAUAGUCGAAUCCAUUGAAUAAUCUCCAUCAAAAAUACAUAUCAAUGGUCUAUCCAUUCAUUCAUCUCAUAUCAAACACACAUCGAUGGUCUAUCCAUCGACCAAUCUUUUGUUCAAUAACUAACUAUGGUCACGACACAAUGCCUUGUGACAAGGUGACCAAGAUUUCCCCUUGGCAAGGUCUCCACCUACAAAGUCGAUGGCUGGGCCCAGAAGGAUAUCCCAAACCUAGUAUGCAUACCCCAAAAAGCCCUUACUGGGUUCACAGUCAUAUUGAGCAUAAAUAACCAUUCUUCAAUACUAGAAAACCCAAUUCAGAAAUCAAUAUCUUAAACCAAACAAAUAACAUUUGCGGCAUAGCCCAUCAUCCAUUUUAUAUCCAUUUCUCAAAUCAUCAUAAACAUUUUCAUGAAUCAAUCACAAGGCAAUUUCAUAGAUAUUUCUCCACUUACUUUGUAUAAUACACUUUUCAAACAUCCACAAUCAACCAAUGAGUAGCAAUUGCUCGACCUGGCUUUUAUGCAAUAAAAAUGCUCUUCUCGAUUCAAUAUAUAUACAUAUAUAUACUUCAAGACAUGGUUUUUACAAAACCAAAGAAGAUAUACUACCACUCACCUCGUCCUCUACGACCAAACGACGAACGAUACUCGUAUCGUCGAACUCAAUGCCCUAUCAAAUAACCGAGAAAAAUGUUAAAAUCUAAUAAAACUCUAUCUCAACUACGAAACAACUAAAUUACGCCUUAACUCUAACAAAAGGAUUUCUACUCGCUAAUAAUUCGCAUAACCAAAACGAUUGUUCAAGCCAUUCGUGACGUGGAGUUUAAGCGCAAAACUUAGUUACGCAAUAACUUUCUCAUCCAAACCCCGUUCCGAACGUACUUUUGGUCAAUAAAGAGCCCUUGACACAUAUUACAAGAAUCCCAACUUGACUGUCCCAAAAUCAAGCAAAAAGAUGACAAAAUACGGGUCCAAAGCUGUUGGACACGUACUGUUCAUUGCGCGCGAGAAACUUUGAAAUUUUGUUUUGGAAAAACUUAUUAGCUCAAAUCACGAUCCAUAAAAUCCCACGGCUCCACAACACACUAAACUACCAUUCCUACAAAAAUACGCGGCUUAACGACUCCAAAAUCGGACUUCGCCGCUCGAUUUUCCAAAAAUUCCGAAUUUGAACCUUGAACCCAUAAACUGCUUCAAUUGGACGAAUGGGGGGCCUAAUCUCUUACCGGGUGCUGCAUUAUGGGAUCGAGUUGGCUUGGUGAGGCAUCUGAGGCAUGCAUGUGCCAAAACUUCUUUCCUUUCUUCUUCUUCUUCUUAUUUAUUUAUUUAUUUUUGGUUGAGGACCCCUCAGCUUCUAUUUAACCGAGCCCUGACUUUUCAACUUCUUUUUCUGUUUUUUCUUUUGGGGCCCAGUAGCCAAAUAUUACAUUCUACCUUCCUAAAAAAAAAUUUCGUCCUCGAAAUUUACAUGUACUUCAAUCAUAAAACAAGUGAUGGUAUUUGUGUCAUGCCUCCUCCUCGAGUUCCCAAGUAGCCUCUCUCUCGGUGUGGUUUUGCCAUUGUAUUUUCACAUAAGGAAUAGUUCGUCGCCGCAACACCUGAUCCUUCUUAUCGACAAUGCAAAUAUGUUGUUCCUCAUAUGUCAAGUUCUCCCGUAAUCUCAAUGGAGUAAAGUCUAGCACAUGUUCAGGAUUUGCACAUAUUUCCGCAACAAAGAGACAUGGAACACAUUAUGGACAGUUGAUAGUGCCGGUGGCAAAGCCAAUUUAUAAGCGACUUCACCAAUUUUCUCUAAGAUCAAGAAUGGUCCCAUGUACCUUGGAUUUAACUUCCCACGUGUGUCAAAUCUCGUUACACCCUUCGUAGGAGAAACUUUUAAGAACACGUGAUCCCCCACAUUAAAUUCUAACUUGCGUCUUUUUAGAUCCGCAUAACUUUUCUGAUGAUUUUGAGCCGUUCUGAGACGUUCUCGAACCAACCUAACUUUCUCUUCUAAUUGCUGGAUGAACUUAGAGCCAGUUAGUCUUUUCUCACCAACGUCUUCCCAAAAAAUAGGACUUCUACAUUUUCGUGCCAUCUUAAUACUGGAGUGAUAAUUGUUGUUAUAAGAAAAUUAUGCCAAAUAUAGAUAUUCAUCCCAAGAACCGCCAAAGUCAAUGAUGCAUGAUCUCAACAUAUCCUCUAAUGUCUGGAUCGUUCUCUCUGAUUGUCCAUCUGUUUGUGGAUGAAAAGCUAUACUUAAGUUGAGUUUAGUGCCCAAUGCUGCUUGCAAACUCUUCCAAAAGUUAGACACGAACCUAGGAUCCCUAUCAGAAAUAAUGCUUACAGGAACUCCAUGAAGCUUCACUAUCUCAUUAACAUAUCGCCUUGCCAUAUCUUCCAUUGAAAGACCAAAUCGAUAUGACAAAAAGUGAGUGGACUUAGUCAAUCGAUCACCAUUCACCCAAAUAGAAUUCCUACCACUGGGCGUCCUCGGUAGACCAACUACAAAGUCCAUGGCAAUAUGCUCCCACUUCCAUGUAGGUAUCUCUAGAGGUUGCAACUAUCCACCUGGUUUAUGAUGUUCAAUUUUCACUGGCUGGCAAACUAAACAUUGAUCAACAAAUUUUAUAAUAUCAUUUUUCAUGUUGAUUCACCAAAAGUUUUUUCUCAAGUCCCUAUACAUUUUAGUGCUUCCCGGAUGAAUUGAAAAUCUAGUACUGUGAGCUUCUUGCAGGAUCUCCUUUUUCAGCUUUGAGUCCUCAGGAACACAUAGUCAACCACGAAACCUCAAGGAUCCAUCUAUGUGUAAACUAAAUCUGCUUGUCUUUAAGCUUCCACAGCUUCUCUAAUUUUUUGUAAUUGUGGAUCUUCAUUCUGUUUAGCCUUAAUUAUGUUAAUCAACAUAGGUUGUACUUGAAGAUUAGCUAAUUGAGCACCAAGCUGCUGCACCAACACCUCUAAGUCUAACUUCCUCAUAUCUUCAAGAAUGAGUUUUUAAGAAGUGAGCAAAGCUACCAUAUUUCCAAAGGAUUUACGACUCAAAGCAUUCGCUACCACAUUAGCCUUACCCAGAUGGUAAUUAAUGGAUAAGUCAUAAUCAUUCAAAAGUUCUAACUAUCUUCUUUGCCUCAUGUUCAGUUCUUUCUGAGUAAAAAUAUACUUUAGACUCUUGUGAUCGGUAAAGGCUUCACAUUUUUCACCAUACAAAUGAUGCUGCCAUAUCUUCAAGGCAAACACAACCGCCGCUAACUCCAAAUCAUGAGUGGGGUAGUUCUUCUCAUGUAAUUUCAAUUGUCUAGAAGCAUAGGCAACAACUUUGCUAUUUUGCAUAUAAACACAACCCAAACCUUCUUUGGAUGCGUCGCAAUAGAUUAUGAAGCCACCACUUCCAGAAGGUAGAGUUAGAAUAGGAGCCGACACCAGCCGUCUCUUCAACUCUUGAAAACUAUGUUCACAUUGGUCUGACCAUUCAAAUUUAACUUUCUUCUGGGUUAGACGGGUAAGUGGACUAGCAAUCUUUGAGAAUCCCUCUACAAAUCGCUUAUAGUAGCUGGCUAGCCCAAGAAAACUUCUCACUUCUGUAACAUUAGUUGGACGAUUCCACUUAACAACUACUUCAACCUUCUUUGGAUCCACUAAUAUGCCAUCCUUCGAGAUCACGUGACCCAAGAAUUCUAUAUGAUCAAGCCAAAAAUCACACUUACUAAAUUUGGCAUACAACUUCUUUUCAUGUAAAGUCUGCAAGACAAACCUCAAGUAUUGUUCGUGUUCCUCUAAACUCUUCGAAUACACUAGGAUGUCAUCAAUGAACACCAUAAUAAAUUUGUCUAGAUAUUCCCUGAACACUUUGUUCAUCAAGUCCAUGAAGGCAACAAGCGCAUUUGUUAAUCCAAAAUGCAUGACGAGAAAUUCAUAAUGGUCAUACCUUGUUCUAAAAGUGGUUUUAGGCACAUCAUCUGUUUUUAUCUUCAACUGAUGAUACCCAUAACGAAGGUCAAUCUUGGAAAAUACCUGAGCUCCCUGAAGUUGAUCAAAUAAAUCCUCAAUCCAAGGCAAAUGAUAUUUGUUUUUAACCGUUACCUUGUUAAGCUCUCGAUAAUCUAUGCAAAGCUGCAUACUACCAUCCUUCGUUUUCACAAAUAGAACAGGAGCUCCCCAAGGCGAAACACUAGGUUUGAUGAAACCUUAUCGAAAAGCUUUUCAGUUGCGUUUUCAAUUCUUUCAAUUCAGUGGGUGCCAUCCGAUAUGGUGCCUUAGAGAUUGGUGCUGUACCGAGCAUCAAUUCAAUACAAAACUCAAUUUCUCUAUCAAGAGGCAAGCUUGGUAAAUCCUCAGGAAACACACUUGGAAACUCUCUAACGACAGGAACAUCUUCCAACUUUACUACAACCUUAUGUGUGUCUUUUACACAAGCUAAAUAACCACAACAGCCUUUUCUCAAAAGUUUCCUUGCUUGCAAAGCUGAGGUCAACCUUGGAGAAAUGUUUUGACAACUUCUCGAAAAAGAGAAUUCGGGUUGAUUCGAAAGUCUAAGUAUCACCUUUUUUGAAAAACAGUCAACAAUAGCACGAUAGGUAGAUAACCAAUUCAUUCCUAUAAUAACAUCGAAAUCUCGAAUAUUUAACUCUACUAGAUCCACAGGCAUUUCAACAUUUUUAAUCUGAAUCACACAUCUCUUGAACACAUGAUGACCAACUAAGAAAUCGCCAGUGGGAGUAUCAACACACAAUUCACAUUCAAGAGGGUCAGGCAACACAUCAAGCUUCUUUGCAAUUUCAGUUGAAAUGAAGAAGUGCGUAGCACCAGGAUCAAAUAAGGCAUAAGCACAUUGUGAGGCAAUAGAAAUAUUACGUGCAACAAUUGCGUUAGAUGCUGCCGCAUCCUCCUUCGUCAUUGCAAAAACUUUCUCACUUGUACUUUGUCUUUGUUAGUUCUCUUGGGGCCUACCAACGAAAGGGGUAUUCCUCCGCAUGGAACACUGGUGUGCUAGGUGGCCUUGUCGCUCACAUAGAUUACAUGAUCUAUUGCCAAUAGGAGGAUUCCUUUGUGUAGAACAAUCUCGCAGCAUGUGUCCCGCUUUCCUACAUGAGAAGCAUACUUCAAUUUUCCGAUGACACUCACUGCGAUGAUAACUUCCACAUGUAUUACAAGGGCCCUGGUUACUCGGAUUUCUGAACUAUCCUGGCCGGCUGAAACCUCUUCGCCUUCCACUACCAUCAGUAUGGCUACCUUGUACAUUUGUGGGCUUAAACCUUUUGGGUUUAGGCGCUCCUUGUGUGCCAUGCUUCAGAAUGCUUUGUUCCACCUUGAUUGUCCGUUCUAGCACAUCCUUAUAAGUUUUUAAUAUGAAAGGUGCAAGUGCAGAAUUAAUUUUAGGUCGGAGCCCUCCUAGGAAAUGGUCGGCCUUAUCUUCCUCAUUUGCUACCUAGUGCUCUGCAAAUCUACUCAACUGAUUAAAGCGAACUGAAUACUCCAAGACCGUGGAGUCACCCUCAGAUAUAUGUACAAAGUCACCCUUCAUCUUUGCCUGGAAUGACUUUGGGAAGAAUUGAGCAUUGAACGCCUUUUAAAAGUCCUCCCAAGAUAUAAUAACAUCCCUACCUCCAAGACUUGGCUUCAUUCCAUCCCACCAAAACUCUGCUUCACCUUCCAGGUAUUGGGUGGCAAAUUGAACUUUCCGAUCCUCGGGAACCUCUUCAGCUUCAAAGAUCCCAUCAAUCUUUUUAAUCCAACGCUUAGUCGCAAGAGGAUCAGCUUUCCCAUCAAAAGUGGGUGGUUUUGCCUUUCUUAAAUGGGCAAAAGUGCCUGAGCCAGUCGCUCCAUCUCCAGUUAAUUCUUUUGCUUGGUGAUACCAAUGGAUCAUUACUUGUUCAAAUUCAGUUGAACAGGUUGGCUCUUGAUCCUCUUCUUUGACUUCGCGCAAGUUAGGACUCCUAUUAUAGUGGUCCUCAAGUCUCCUUCUCAAAAACUCACCUCGAGAAGCUUGAGGUAUGUCUCUAGCCUCAGGGGUAGUGACUCGUUUGCCUUUGCGGCUCCUACGAAGCGAGGCAAGUGUCUCAAAGUUGGUACUCAUGAUCACCUGAAUCUAAUAAUGAAACUACACCUUAGAAUCUAGAAGACUAACGCAAAAAUAAAAUCUAUCACACAACCUCACAACAUCCCAUAACUACAUCCAAAAAGAUCAAAACUUAGGCUCUGAUACAAAAAAUGUCACACCCCAAAACUACAAAGAAUGAGGAUGACACGGCCAUCAUUCCACACGAAUGACGCGACCUCAAACACAAUCAACAAACUAAUAUCAACUUAUAUAUAUCUCAAAUCAUAUAUACACAUAUAAGAUAAACCAACAAAUUGGUUGCAAUAUCAGAGUUUCUAUAAUCCACUAAAAAAAAUAUACGUUUAAAACUCAGACAAUACAACCACUAGUAAGGAUCAUGUGCACCACUUCUUUAAACCAUAUCAAAGAAAAUAAAAAUAGAACUCCCCAAAAGUUUCCCACCAACGGCCCUCUCGCUCUAUUCGCCGCUAACCGAGGAACUUGAAAAGAUUAAAGGAGGAGUGGGAUGAGCAACAACAGCUUAAUGAGUAGUACAUCUCUUCUAAGUAGAUCGAACAACCAUUAUGCAUGUAUAUAAAGUAAUACCAAACUUCAUAACGCCAACUCAAUAUAUAAAAUACAUAUCGAAUCUUAUAAGAGUUAUUUAUUAUCAUCAAAGCUUAAUAAUAAUACGGAAAACUCAUUUAAAUCGCCAUCAAAAGUCAAGUAUCAAUGGUCGAAUCCAUUGAAUAAUCUCCAUCAAAAACACAUAUCAAUGAUCUAUCCAUUCAUUCAUCUCAUAUCAAACACACAUUGAUGGUCCAUCCAUCGACCAAUCUUUUGCUCAAUAACUAACCAUGGUCACAACACAACGCCUUGUGAUAAGGCGACCGAGAUUUCCCCUUGGCAAGGUCUCCACCUACAAAGUCGAUGACUGGGCCCAGAAGGAUAUCCCAAAUCUAGUAUGCAUACCCCAAAAAGCCCUCACUGGGUUCACAGUCAUAUUGAGCAUAAUAACCAUUCUCCAAUACCAGAAAAUCCAAUCAAGAAAUCAAUAUCUUAAACUAAACAAAUAACAUUUGCAGCAUAGCCCAUCAUCCAUUUCAUAUCAAUUUCUCAAAUCAUCAUAAACCUUUUCAUGAAUCAGUCGCAAAGUAAUUUCAUAUAUAUUUCUCCACUUACUUUGUGUAAUACACUUUUCAAACAUUCACAAUCAACCAAAAAGUAACAAUUGCUCAAUCUGGCUUUUAUGCAAUAAAAAUGCUCUUCUCGAUUCAAUAUAUAUAUUUCAGGACAUGAUUUUUAUAAAAUCAAAGAAGAUAUAGUACGACUCACCUUGUCGUCUACAACCAAACGACGAACGAUACUCGUAUCGUGGAAUUCAAGGCCCUAUCAAAUAACCAAGAAAAAUGUUAAAAUCUAAUAAAACUCUAUCUCAAUUACGAAACAGCUAAAUUACGCCUUAACUCAAACAAAAAGACUUCUAUGCGCUAACAAUUCGCAUAACCAAAACGAUUGUUCAAGCCAUUCGUGACGCGGAGUUUAAACGCAAAACUUAGUUACGCAAUAACUUCCUCCUCUGAACCCCAUUUUGAACGUACUUAUAGUCAAUAGAGAGCCCUUGACAAAUAUUACAAGAAUCCCAACUUGACUGUCCCAAAAUCAAGCUGAAAGAUGACAAAAUACGGGCCAAAAGUUGCUGGACGCGUACUGUUCACUGCGCGCAAGAAACUUUGAAAUUUUGUUUCGGACAAACCAUAUGCUCAAAUCAUGAUCCAUAAAAUCCCACGGCUUCACAACACCAUGAACUACCAUUCCUACAAAAAUACGCAGCUCAACGACUCCAAAAAUGGACUUUGCUGCUCGAUUUUCUAAAAGUUCCGAAUUUGACCCCUAAACCCAUAAACUACUUCAAUUGGACGAACGAGGAGCCUAAUCUCUUACCGGGUGCUGUGUUAUGGGGUCGAGUUGGCUUGGUGAGGCGUUCAAGGCGUGCACGUGCUAAAACUCUUUUCCUUUCUUCCCCUUUCUCUUCUUUCUUUUCUUUCUGGUUGAGGACCCCUCAGCUUCUAUUUAACCGAGCCCUCUCCCCUCUUCUUUUUACUUUAUUGACUUUUCAACUUCUUUUUAUGUUUCUUCUUUUGGGCCCCACUAGCCAAAUAUUACACCUUCCCACCGAGUCAAGUCAAUGUCGCCCCUACCAUCUUCUACGUCUGGACGUGAGGAAGUUAUUGUUGCCCGAGUGACGCAUGUAAUGACGCCUUGAGGCCCUCCAUCUUUUCCUUAUCACAACUUGUCCCGUUCUUGCACCGAUUCCUCACUCCUAGUGCGUCCCACGUUCACCAGAUUUCUGAGGAAGAAAGGAAAAUGUCGAGCUCUCAGUGUUUUGAGAACCCACCAAACCUGAGCUCCACUUGCGGAGCAGGACACGUUGAAGAGCUUGCAGGUCUCAAGACUUACGUCACCGGCCCUUCCGAUUCCAAGCGUGCUGUUCUUCUCAUCGCCGAUGUUUUCGGUACUGGCCCAUUUCUUUAAUUUUGAUUUUGUGGUGUUUCUCUCAGUUGGGUCUUUUCUUUUGGUCAAUUAUGUAUAUCUCCUUGGUUCUUUGUCGUUCUUGUGCUUUUCGAUUGGUCCAUGAUAUUGCUGCUUGAUUGAUCUUUGCUCAUCUGUUUGUGCAGGGUAUGAGGCUCCUAAGCUGAGGUAUGGAAUCUUUCUCAAGUUGUUCUAUGUAUAUGUUGUUCUCUAGUGCCAUCUUUUGACGUUUCAUGGUGAAUAAACUCUGUAUUCUCCGGAUAGCAUACAUUUGAAAGCUUUGCUUUUCCGUUCACCUUUCACCUGUGAUGACGAAGAGCAUUAGAUGGCACUUGAGGGCGAAGCCAGUUCAUUCUGGAUGAGUGUGUUUGGCGUUCUUCUGUUCCAAGUUAAAACAUCAUUUGUUGAAUUGUAUAUACACGCGGGACCUCAUGGCAUAGUCCAGCUGACAUUUUAUAUACAUCGCUUGAUUCAAUACGAAUCUCAGUUUUCUUUGUUCUAAUGAUUUCUGCUACUAGUAUGGCUCAGCUGGUCAUGUAAUUCGGUUUCAUCUUGAGAUAGAGUUAUCCUUAGUUGCAACACCAAAAUCACAUAAGCUGGGGUUGCCUUCUUGACAGUCCCGGCAUAAUUCUAUGUUUUAACAAGAUUGAGAAUGAUAAGAGUUACCUUUUCAAAUGGUCAUACUUAUUUGCGGAAUGCUUUCCUUGUGUAGGAAACUCGCAGAUAAAAUUGCAUCCGCGGGAUUCUUGGUGGUCGUACCUGAUUUCUUUUACGGAGAUCCCAUUAUUGAUUUCACUAGUCCUAAUUUCAAUUUUGAAGCUUGGUUUAAGAAUCACGGCACGGUGAGUUUUUCACUCCUUCAGGCUGUGAAAGUGUGACAGUACAUUUAGAAGUUCAGAGGAAACAAGGGGCUUUCUACUGUGCAAACUUGAUUUGUAGACUCGAAUCACACGCAGUAAGUUGCAUUGGUAUUUAGACCUGGUUGGAGAUUGCUGGUCAUUUCAAAGAUUUUCGACGCCCAGCAAGAUCUUUAUUAUAUAAAAUUCCAAAUGCAAAACAUGAAACAGCAUAAGUAGAAUAAAAGCCUCAUGAAUUUUGAUGUUACCGACUUUUAGACAAUCUUUUUAUAAACGUUUACUUCAUUUGCUUCUUUAGGAUAAAGGGCAUGAAGAUGCCAAGCCAGUGAUUGCUGCUCUUAAGAGCAAAGGUGUGUCUGCCAUUGGGGCUGCAGGAUUUUGUUGGGGAGGUAAAAUUUUCUGAAUUCACUUUCCUAGUUCUGAGGGGGUUGUUGGGUUAAGAAAUGGGAAAUUUGUUCUUAUUGGAAAUUGUAAUCCAUUUUCUCUAAAAAUAUCUAGAAACUACUAACUUAAUCAUGAAGGUGAGAACCUUCUAGAAUUGUUGAGAAUGAAGAUUGCUAGUUGAAUCUAGAAGAUUCACAUGGGAAUGCAAGCAAGCAAAAGCCAAGCAUCAAAGAAAAUCCUAGAACAAGCAAGAGAAGUCUAGAGAAGUCCAUGCUUCAAGAGAAGUCUAGAAUUCUAGAAUGCUUCAAGAGAAAUCUAGAAUUCUCUAUCUUAGGUUAGUAGCUAUUUGUAGAGAAGUCUAGAGACUUCCUCCACCUACUUUGGCAGCCUAUAUAAAGGAGCAAGUGCUCCAUGUUUUGGUGAAAGGGAGCUAACCAUAAAAACCACAUCAUGCUCCCUCACCAACACUUCCUUCAACUAUUGUAAAAUUAUUUUAUCUAACUAAUCAAACUAUUUUUGUCCCAUAAACCUUCUCAAAAUAUCCUAUAUCCCAUGUUCUUUAUCCUUUAAUUAUCCUAGUUUAUCUUUUGUCCGUCCUCUACAAACUAUAUCAUACACUUGCACACAACAUCACUAAUAAAAAACUAUCAUCAAUACCAAAACCAUACUUCUGCGCAUAUUUAUAUUUUUAACAGUUCUACAUUGACCGUUGAGAAACUAGUUUUGUUGACUUGCAGAAAAGUUCUUUCAAGUUGUUAAAAAGAGCUUGCCUAUUCUUUUCAGGAGUGGUGCUUGUGAAAUUAGCGGGCACUGAAGACAUUCAAGCAGCAGUUAUUCUGCACCCCGGUCCUAUGACCGAAGAUGCAAUCAAAGGUAAAGCUAUGCCAAUAAACAUGGACUUGCUAUUUUCUUUUCAGCCGCAGCGAUAUAAUUUCUUCAUGAGGGUAUAAGACUUGGUACUUGGCACGGGAGCCUUUAUCGCCUAUUAUGAAAUGCUCAUGAACAAUUAAAUUAUAUGAAUUCUGAUGGGAGUCUGUAAUGCAGCCAAGAGUGACGAAGAAACUCGCUAUAACAUGUCCGGUCAAUUACAAAAAAUCGAUGGCACGACUUUUGUCUACUUGAGAAGUGUUCCUUAAACUGGAAGCCUUAAAAGACCUUAUUUUCUUCUGUUCUUUGUUCAGCUGUCAAGAUUCCAACUGCUAUAUUGGGAGCCGAGAUUGACCAUUCUUCCCCGCCGGAACAACUGAAAAAGUUUGGGGAGAUCAUGUCGGCUAAAACUGAAGUAAGCUUCUUAGGAUGCUUUGCAUUGGUUGCAAACCAAUUGUGAGAAAAUGCAAUCGAUUUUUUACAUUCCCGUCAUUUCGCUUGGAAAGCACUUUCCCUUCCUGGUUAUUUAUACACAUCGCUAAUUCAAAGACCCCGGUUUUGCAGUUUGAGAGCUAUGUGAAGAUAUUCCCUGGUGUUAGUCAUGGAUGGAGUGUGAGGUACGACGACGACAAUGAAUUGGUGGUCAAGAGCGCCGAAGAGGCCCAAGAAGACACUUUGAAUUGGUUCUUGAAGCAUGUCAAGUGAAGAGAACCGAAGGCAUUGAAGCAGAACAUUCUGACGGAAGCAGUAGAUGACUGUAUUGUGUGAGACGAACAGUUUGAGGACUAGUCAUCUAUUGUAAUAUCUGGCGAGGGAACAAUGUACUGUGCUGUUGAUACUUAGAGAAAUAAAGACAUUGGUUUCAUCGCUUAAACUUGGAAGAUUGAAAACAAAAUAUAUCGCCUAGAGUUGUAUCGUGGCGAUUUGGAUGCGUUUGUUAUUCGAAUCGGUUAGAGGUGUUCACUGUCCACUGGAUGAGGACCACAUAAUGGAAUAUGAAACAGCAUAUUUUGAAGGAUGUGUUAUUUGCAUGGUUACCACCUUGUCAUCAGCUAAAGUGGCUAAUAUCUAAGGUAAUCUCUAGACCACUUGAUUUUGAAUGUAUCCAUUAUAUUAUAACUUGACAAGUAUGCGAGCAAUUAAUAUUUUAUUAAAAGAUACACGACCUCAAAAUCACAUGUCUCAAGAAUUAAAAAAGAAGAAGAGAUGAAAGUAAGGAUAUGGAGAAGAAUAGUAUCCAAAAUAUAUGAGAAACCAACUAUUCGAACUUAUGACAAAAGCGAAACGUUUGUUUUCUAUCAAGUCUAUAUGAUAGUAGGUUAAGAUUUUUCGAAACUAAACCGGAUAGACAUGGCAAAAUUCGUCCUUCAUGUAUAUGGUAUAUAUUUUCGCAACGUGCAUUUGUAUACUGACCAAAUAAUUUCAGAUUUUGGCCAGAUUGUGUUUUUUCGUGAGAGGAAGCAUGUCUCUAUCAGGCUAAAUAUAUUAUGGUUUCGUCUUUGUUCGUUUCUCGUCUGUUUCUCACCGGCCCUCUUCCUUGUUUGACGUCAGCAGUGACGUUAAUACGAACCACGAGACCUUUGAUAACUAAUCCAAACCAUAAGAUUACACGUGCAAGGUGUCUGCAAGAUUAACUUUUUCAGACGCUGUGAUAUCAUAUCGCGGAUAGGCCUAUAGUUUUCAUAAGGCAUUAAUGCACGAUUCCACUUAGCGACCAGAGGAUCACCGUAUCAUCUCUCGUCUCUUGGCUCUGUUCUUACCUCGGAAAGAAUAAAGAAAUGAAGAAAAAGACCAUGAACAGUAAACAAUGAAAGAAAAAAAAAGAAAAAAAUCAAAAUAUCUAUAAAAUCUCUCAAAACGACGUCAUUUCGAGUGGAGUUAUACACGUCAAUAUCACUAACCCUUGGCAUGUAAGAUAACAAGCAUUGAUUUGCACCUCUACAUCAGAAUUUCCUGACAUAAAUUAGUUGGAUAGACUAUAUUACAAAAUUGUUGAAAGGUUCAUGACUACACUAGUCGAAUUGGACAGUUUAUUAUGAAAUUGGAACUUGUACAAUUUGUUCACGGCUUUUGGGUAGUUUUUCCCAUCUUAAGUAAGUCGUAAUUCUAAUACAAGGACGCAUAAGCUCUAUGCUUUUCUUAUUUAUUUUUUGGCCUAUGGUGAAUUAGGUGAUGCUUUUUUCGCGCGGUUGGGACAGAGACAACUGCUUUGUCUCCAAGCCGGCAACUUCCAUAUUGCUGAACCUGGACAUGAAUUUAGUAUCUGUACCACAAUUGUUGAAAUAACCUAAUGAAAAAGCCUAGAUCGGUCAAAAUUGGUUGAUUUGGGUCAUCUAGGAACCGGCCUUUGAAUUAAAGUCUAUCAAACCCAGGCCUAAAACUAUAUUGGUUGAUCCAGGCUGAAAUUGGAUUAGUCCACUUAUCAAUUGCAUUAGCCUGUCAGGACUCAACAGCCGGCAAUUAUCUGGGUUUGUAAGAAAGUUCCAUGCAUAGUAUACGGUAACUGGUUAGUAAUGGCUGAACAAACUUCAAACAAAAGCAAAGCAGGUGAUGGGCCUUUCUCUCUUGGAAAUUGGAAAUUGCUGAAAAAUGCUUUCAAAGAUCUUUCUAUUGGAGUUUUCGAAGUUCUCCAUAACCACAAAAAUUGUUUAACUUUUACUAGUUCAGAUUUUCAAGUGAGAUUAAAAAAAAAAAAAUCAUUUUGAGAUGUUUGCCUUCAAAAGUUUCUAAAACAAAUUUCUAAAGAAAAAGACUCGAGUUUAGCGCACAUCAGACAUCCCUUCCUCGAGACCAUGGACUGGGUUCCUCGGGUCCAAGAUUCGGGGUCGAGGGGGCAGGUUUCCCAAGUUCAAGCACUGGAUUCGACGCACUCCCGAGGCUCGGUACGAGGCAUUGGGAGCAGAGGACCAACGUCCCAUCUUGCUUUGUUGCCUAGUGGCGAGCGGGGUCCCAGGUUCAAGGCAACGACGUUCCGAGUCCAACUCUGAAGUCUCAAGACUAAGCAUCGUGGUCUCGAAUUUGACCCACAAGCACCCAAGGUAUGGGGUCCGAGCACUUGGUUCCUCAGUCCGACCCCAAGGUCCUAUGUUUGGCAGCUGUAGUCCCCCAUCUCUGAAGAUGAGGCGAUCGGGUUCUCGAAUUUAGAUGAUAAGGUCUUGGUUUAGCCUUGGUCAAGGUCCCAAGUUCAAGGGUUGAUGACACGGGCGUGUAUUUUAUAUAUUAUAACUUUUUACUAAUUUCCUUUAUAUUUAACAUAUGGUAGGAUAGAAUUUCUUUUGUAAUUUAAUUAGAAUUUCAUUAGAAUUUCAUUAGUUCUUCAAAUAUGUUAAGUUUUCUUGUUAUAUAAAAAUAUUGAGAGUUCUCCUCUGCUGCAUUCAUGUGCGUGCGCCAUCGUGUGUAGUGCGAGUGUUUACUUGUGUUGGCGAAUUGCCACUUGUGCAAUCACUCUUUUAUGUUACAUUAAGGGGCUAUUUGACAACGUGCCAAACAGUGUCAGAUUCUGAUUUUUUGUUCUCCGGAACAGAUUUAGAAUGGAAUUAAGAAUUUAAAAAAAAAAGUUGAUUCUUGUUUAGGAAACAAAUUUGAUAAUCGAAAUCAACUCUUCUUUUUCUUCUUCCCUUUCGCCACCUCGUGAUCGUUGUCCACCACCACCUGCCGCCAUCCGCCACCAUCCGUUGUCACUUGCCACAGCCCGCCGCCGCUGGUCACCAUCCGCCGGUCCGACAAGCUCGCCGAAGGCAAACCUAGCCACUGAUGAGGCUGGGCGAGCCUUACCCAACUGUCGGCGAGGCUCGAUCGACGAGGGCCAGCCUCGGCAAGGGCUGGCGACGCUUCGGUGAGGUUGCUGGUCCUCAUCUGGUUGGUCGCUGAUCUGGUGACCGGCCACAAGAAGAAGAAGAAGAAUAUGAGAAAAAUGAAAAAGAAAAAAAGAAAGGAAAAAAAGAAAAAAAAAGGGAAAAUUGAAAAAAAAAUAUUUAAAAAUUAAAAGAAAUUGAUUUGAAAUAGAAUCAAUGAGUAUGGUACCAAAUGCAAUUCUAUUUCAGAAUCAGAAAUUUUGGACAGUUACCAAAUAACUUAAAAUGCUUAAAAUUUGAUUCCAUGAACAAAAUAAAAAAAUAAUAAUUUCUGAUCAGAAUCUACUCUCGGGAAUAGAAUCGUUAUCAAACGCAUCCUAAACAAGUCCGGCCUUUGAGCACCGAUGUCUCAAAUUCAACCUUAAGAUGUGAAACCCGACCCUUUGAGUAUCGGGUUCGAAGAGUAGGUUAUCUGAGUUAUUUCCUCGAUAUUUUGAGUCCUGAAUAUGGGAAUGGUCUUGGUGGUGGUGGAAGUCAAAUCAGAUUCUAGAAAAUGUUGAGUCCUUUCAAGCGGCGGAAAUUUAUUUCCAAAAUCGAAGUGAAGAUUUCUAAUUGAUCAAAAAAAGUUCUAUAUUAACUCAUGUUUCUAACCGGCGUCAAAAGGCAAAAGAUGAAGCAGGUAUUUUACCAGCUAAUUUCCGGCAAGACAAACGGCUAAAACGUAAUUCAUUGUGCAGAAGCUCCUCGAGACAAAGGGAUCACUUGAUUUUUUAUGGUCCGUUCUCAAAGCCGAUUUGUUCCAGACUUUUUACAAAGAUCAAUCGAUCAAGCAUAUGGAGAAAGUGAGCUUCAAUGAGCUUUAGAGUUUUGACCAUAGAAAAGGGGAAUUUUUUUGUAUCAAUCAUCUUGAAGUUGGCAUAGGGUGUUUCUAUCAAUUACUCAAAUAUUUUUUGGCUGUUGUUGCAACAAGCGUUAUUCGACUUGAUUGGUCGAAUUAGGCAGAAUCCAAUCAUGCUUAAUCGCCGCACCUCCGCUUUCUUUUGGACUUACUCGUGGAAGCACAUAUUUCUACAUCUCCAGCAAUUAUCUAGUGCACAAGGGAUGGGGGAACUGACACAUCUGAUAGGGAUGGGAUUAGGUUGGGCACACAAAAAGUCCUAGAAAUCCAUUGCUACAACAAAAGAAUUCGAGGAAUUCGAAACAAGUGACUUUUCCUUUGUCUAGCUCGAAGAGAGAUUCUUCUAUGCCUCAUGAAUGUGACAUUUCUAUUCAUCCAAAUCAAUCACCACAUGUUGAUUAUUGUAAAUUGCCUUCUUUUAUUUUAAAAUGAUAAAAAAAAACUGCGUAGACAAUGACUAGAUUGGCUGGCUAGAUCAUAGUUAAAUUUCUCCCUCAAUAGGUGCAUUGAUUGUUGAUCCCGAACUAAACUUAAGAGCUUACACUUCUUUAUGCACACAAAGUUUCAAUCUCUUAUGAAAUUGAUAAAAAAAAUGGUCAUUGAAGUAUAAAGUUCUUUCUAAUUGAGAGGUGUUGAAAAUAAUAGUCACCAACAAAAACAGGCACAUCAAAAGAAGUCUCUAUGGAAAGGUUAGGUCUUUGUUCCAAAUUCUAAUCCUGAUUAAUGAUGCGACAUCUUCAUUGGGUCUUGAAGUGUCUGUUUAAUUCUCUUUGCUCCAUAGCUAGCAUAUACUAAUUCAAUUUGGAUCAAUUGGUUUUUUAAUUUUGUAAUCAUACUAAUAUGCUUCUUUAAAUGCUCCAAUUUAUUGAAAAGAAAAUAAAAUCUCAAUAGGAGAUUGAUUUCUAUUGGCAUUUACAAGAAAUUCCACCAAAAAAAAAAAAAGUUUAAUUGGAACCUUGGACUGAUACAAACAAGGAAAGGACGACACCAGAGUGCAAAAUGGAAAGAUGAAAUAUAGAUACCCCUUGGCGAUUUUAGUUUAACAUCUUUCUAUAAAGAGUCAAAUAAGUUUUUUAUAAAAAGGCAAAGGAUUAAUCAUUAUUUGAUGCCUAGGGGGCCAGGCCAAACACAGAGAAUGAGGAGACAUCGUGUUGAUACCUAAAUUUUGACGACCCGUUUAGUCAUUUAUUGCAUUAAAAAAUUAGGGGUUAAUUUUAUUCUUGAAAAAAUAGUCAAUUGCAUAGCAUAUAGUUUUAGAUGCAUUUAUUUUUUAAUUUGCAUUUACCAUGGGUCAGUGACAAAUGGGUUUAAUUUAGUGGUUCUAAAAUUUAAUUUGGCAGGUCAGACUAAGCCCACGAAGCAAAUAAAUUGACCCGAGCCUGUUUUCUUUUAAUGACAAAAAUUACCUAAAUAGAAAUUUGAAAUGAUAUCACGGUGGAUUUUUGAAAUUUAAUAAAAUUGGAUUGCAAUCUUAUCUUUAGGAGAUAAUAUUAAAAGAUGUGGAAAAUAAAAAAAGUGAUAUUACGUGCGAAAAAGAAAUCUUCGCGAAUGUUGAUUUGGAAAGGAAAUUAAAACCAUGAUCUUCAGCCUAUAAAAAGAUUUUUCGCGUAGGGUUUCGAGGAGGCCACACAUUGAAUAUAUGGCAGCACAACAAAAGGGUUUUGGAGAAAGAGAGAUAUACCGGGAGAGAUCGGAGAAAAGCUCGACGGUUUUGUCAAAAGACCAGAUCGCAGAGAGAAUCCUGUUCGCAUAACGAAAGGGAGAAGGCGGCGAAGCGCUGGCGACCUUUCGUUCAAGGAGAGAGCAUAAUCCAUUACAUCUAGUCCACGUUUUCAAGGAGUCAUCACAAAAAAAGGAGUCCCACAUGCGGCCACGCCAUCAAGAAUGCGCAGAUCACUUCAUCACAUCAUCAGAGCAUCUCGUCAUCAUCCUCGGACACCUUACAAGCGAUCUUAGCAAUUUAUUUUGAGGAGUACGCCCAAUGCUCUACUGACCCGGUGACACUGCUCAGCAAGCACCGACAAUUCCUCUUUAUCCUUGCAUGCGUGCAUGGAAUUUCUGGCCUUGUAGGAUCGAAUUGGAAUUGCCGAGUUCCCGCAACGAUCGCUGCUGUUUAUUGCCUGCUGCUAUUGCUGAGUUGUGUCGAGUUGACCAUGGAUCUGUGAACUCGUCCUCGUCUUCAUCCUUACAUCAUUCCUUACCGGUCCCAUUCUUGGAGAUAACUUUUCCGAGCUAGGAUUUGCCAAGUCAAAUCUUGAUCAAUUGAUGUAAUCGAGCUUCCAGAGAUGAUCCAGCAGAUCCAGACGAUCUCUUACGCCACUCUCGAGUGCCUCGUCGUUCCGUCCGUGACUCCGUGCUGAGCCACAAAGCCCCGACGUGAGUUGCUCCAACGUUUCUCACCGCCUCAGCAACGUACCAGGGACAUCGACUUUCUUCUAUUCGUGACGUUGCUGUCGACAACUUAGAGGCAAGAUAGAAGGCCUUUUAACUGAACUCCAGCAAUCCCGAGCGGUUAUUCAACAUCAGCCCAGCAUCGUUGAGUCAAGGUCAAGCCUGGACAAUCAACUUCCGGUCCAUCAUCGUUGGCGAUCUAGUCCAUAAACCGCCGCUCACACUAUCGUCAUCAACAUCACUGUCCAUCACCGCCAUCCGAGCCUCAAAAUUCACAUAAUUACGGCAACAAGCCGAAGGAUUCUCGACAAAGGCUUGGCUUUAAAUUUGAAGAUUUGUUUUCCAUUGCUUGCUUGCGGUGUGGAAUUGUUUGUGUGCAGGUUAUUUGGGUCAGAGGGACACGUGAACCCGGUCAAAAGCACCAUGUCAUGUCAGUUUGAAGUCCAAGAGAACCUUCGUGAGCCAGGCCCAUCUCCGAGAACUUCAGGCACCCAUCAAAAAUUUCUCGACCCAUCAUCAUUGCUUGGCACCACCAGAUCGGUCCAGUGAUAUUGACGACCCUCGAUGUUCCGGCGAGUCCUCCACCGAGCUCAGAGCCAUCACCACCGCAAUUCGCAUGAUUUGUCCGUCUGAAUUUGGAAACAGUAUCCGAGUGAUAUUGCAAUUCAGGUAAUAAUUUUCAUUAAAUUGAUUUUCAUAUAUUUUUAUUUCCUAAUUUAUGAGAUCGCUAUCUCGCAUGAAAUUCCCGACUGAUAUUCGAAAUUUGAGAAUCAUCGACAGUCCAAUUUUCGCGUCCGAAAUCCGACUCACAAUCGCACGGAAAAUCGCAAAUUCGAUCUCACGCUUGAAAUUUGAUUCGCAAUUUAUUUAGAAAUUGGCCAACCCGAUCUCAUGCGCGAGAUACGGUUCGCCAAUUUGUGGAUAUCAAUCAUAUCUUAUUUGAUUUGCCGUCAUGUUGGUUGAAUCAAUUUUAUUUUUGUAAAAGGAAAAAUCCAAAAAAUAUUUGAAUUAGGAUUGGGUUGGUUUUAGAAUAUCUCUUGUUAUCUUGCAUAUUUAGAAUAGAGAUUCUAUUUCGAAUUUGUUAAAAAAUAAAAAAUAAAAAAUGCAUGCAUUUAGGAUGUUAAUUUUAAAUUUGAAUUGCACGUUUAAUUAUUUGGCAAUUUUUAAUUUCGAAGUUCAUAAAAGAAAAAGAAAAAAUUAGAAUUAGGGCAUUCUUUGCAUGUCAUUGCAUAUUAUGGUAGAUUGCAUACUUGUUAAGAAAAAAGAAAAAUGUCAUGUGCACGUCAUUAGGAUUAGAUUCAUGAAAUGCAUGCCAUUUAGUAGUUGUUGCUAGGUUUAUUCGAUUAAAAAUUGCAUGUCAUUAGAAUUAGGUCAUUUAGUUAUUUGCAUUGCAUAAAGCACGAUUCUCAUUAAUUAAGUGAAAACAAAAAGAAAUUGUGUGUUAAUUAGAAAUCUUGUUGAUAUGAAUUCUGAUAUAACAUUGCAGAUGCAGUUUUGCAAUUUUAUUCAUUGCUUUUCUUGGAUAUUAAAUUGGUUAUUUGCGCACACCUCACAUGUUAGGGAGAUAAUUUAAAAUCAAUUCAAACUGCCUGCCAAAUAUUUUUUUUUUCAAAAUAAAAAAAAAAAAGGUACCGAAAGGGCGUUGGAGAAGUCUAGCGUAACCAAGUCCUCGAACUCAUAAUCUCUGGUUCAAUCGACCCACCAAAAAUAGAUUAGUGGCGACUCCUAAUUACAAAUUUGCAUGUUAAGAACUUGAACCGAAAGUCGCGAAUUAGUAUAGGCUUGGGAGAGCCCGAGUUAAGUCUAGGCUUAAUAAUCCAUUAGCCAAAUCCUAGGUGAUGCACCCGAAAAUUUGGUCGCGAUACAUCGCCAUAGACAAAAUUGGUUCCUUGAUUUGACGGAUUUUCGUACUACACACAUCAACCAUUCACGUGCUCCAAUGGGGCCUCUCAUGCCCCGAGUCAUGAAACACCUACAAGAAUUUAUUUGCUUUGUCACCAUAUUAUUUAUCACCUAUGUACGUGUUUAUGCAUCAACUUUGGUGAAAAUCAUCAUAUAUAAACCGAAUCACUAUGACUCAAAUCAUUCCAUACAUAUAUGUAUGUAUGUAAAGUACAUUCAUUUUGUGAUUUUUGUCCUAUUAAAUCAAUGUAACAUGUACAAAAGGCGAUUGUUUGACGAGUUAGUCGCCCGAAGGAUCUCCAUGCUAAGUUCGAGAUUUUACAAAAGACAAGCUAAAUUGUUCCGUCUAGUCAAUUUCAAAAGAGUUGGAAUAUUGCAAAAUUAACGAUUUUUUUUUCUUUCGAAAAACAGAGCACCAUUUGUCUUAACGACAAGAAGAGACAUUACCAAAUUUUGUGGACAUACUUUGUCCGAGACCCGGCCCAUGUCCAGCAGCCCAGAUUGUGAUGGAUCCAGCAUGGACAGGCCCAUGGGGUGGCUGAUGGGCCUUGUCAAACACUAUUCAGUUGCUCUCCUAAGCUACAUCAAUGAUCAACGAUAAAAUUCUGUCACAAGACAAUUUUCUGUCCGGCACGAUGCAAAUAACGAGGUCUGAGAAUUAUAUAAUUACUUUCGAGACACGAGGUUCUCAUUUAUCUAAAUCAGUCAUAGCAUGGCAAGUGUUACAAACUUCCUUAUCUUCUUUCAAGAUCAAUGAUAGUUUUUCUACUUGAUGAUUCACUUGGAUGGAUUGAAAUGUCAUGCUUUGAGAGCACAUAAAAAUUUCUUAAUAAAUUGAUAUUUCAUUUCUUCUCUCGUACGAAUACCACUACCCGAUAUGCUUUGAGCGUUGAUCUUGUUAUAAAUGCCAUAUAAUCAUCAAUAUCAACUAGGUCAUAAUAAAGAUCAGUCUAAGUUUGCUGUACUUAAGUUCUUUGUGAGGUGCCCAAAACGAGCUCCAAAUCACAUAAAGACCUUCGACACGAGCCUGUAAUGUGAAGAGACCACCGACGUGAUCUCGAGUUUUGUAUAUUUGUAAUUUUAAUGCAUUAAUUUUGUGGACCUACUUGGUCUCAUCCCCAAGCCAUGUUUAUCGUCCAAGUUUGUCCUAACUAUCGACCUGGACUAGCUAAGUGCGCAUCGGUUCACCUCAAUCCGUCGUAAAUGGAAAUGCCGUCCCUGUUCAUAUCAAAAAAGUUUCACGUGACAAGCUCGAGCACUGCAAAAUCUGAUCUUUUGGAAAUGGUCUGUCUUGUUUUCGCGUCUUGCUCAUUGCAAGUUUUGAUCUUGGGAAACGGUCUCUGGACUUUUGCAGAUGACUUGAUGGGCUCUAUCAAAUGGACACUCUCGACAAAUAGAUUGGUGGAUUGAGAUAAGGCGGUCUUCACUCUUCACGGGAGAAAAUAUCUUUGGAGAAUACCCGUCAAAACCUGUAGUCAAAGCCCCCGGUUUCCUUAGAAUUCAGUGUCCGAGUGAGUGACGCAUGCCAUGAGGCCGCUAACUUCCGUCUUUUCCUGCAGAACUUCGAUCUUUUUCCAAUGUUCCGUUCGUAAAUUGUCUCAUUCUUUCACUCAUUCCUCGCUCUUGGCGCGUCCAGCAUUCACCAGAUUUUUUGGUGAAAGAACAGGACAAUGUUGAGGUCGGAGUGGUUUGAGAAUACCACCAAAACCUUUAGUCAAAGCCGCCACUUUCUUUAGAAUUCAGUGUCCGAGUUAGUGACGCAUGCGAUGAGGCCGCCAACGUCCCAUCUUUUCCUGCAGAACUUCGAUCUUUUUCCAACGUUCCCUUCAUAAAUCGUCUCAUUCUUGCACUCAUUCCUCGCUCUUGGUGCGUCCAGCGUUCGGCAGAUUUUUUUGUGAAAGAACAGGAAAAUGUUGAGCUCUCAGUGCUUUGAGAACCCACCGAACCUGAGCUCGACUUGUGGAGCAGGGCGUGUUGAAGAGCUCGCAGGCCUCAAGACUUACGUCACCGGCCCUUCUGAUUCCAAGCGUGCUCUUCUUUUCAUCCCUGAUGCUUUUGGUAAUGGCCUAUUUCUUUGAUUCUGAUUUUCUGUGUUGUUUCUCUGAUGGGUCUUUCUUUUUUGGUUGAUUGUGUUACUUCUUCUUGGUUCUUGGUCGUUCUUGUGCUUUUUCGAUCGAUCCAUGAAAUUGCCUCUUGAUGGAUCCUUUGCUCAUCUGUUUGUGCAGGGUAUGAGGCUCCUAAGCUGAGGUAUGGCGUGAUUACUUGCAUAGAAUCUUUCUUAUAGUGCCAUUUUUUGAAGUUUGCAAGUGAAUGACUCUGUAUUCUCCCUGUAUCUGAAAGCUCUGCCUUUCCGAUCACCUUUCCCCUGUGAUGCUGAAGAGCAUUAGAUAGCACAUGAGGGUGUGGCCAAUUCAUUCUGGAUGAGGGUGUUUGGUGUUUUUCUUUUCUGAGUUUACACAUCAUCUGUUGAAAUGCAUAUACGUUUGAUUUUGCGGCAUAAUUCAACUGACAUUUGAUGCACAUUGCGUAACUCAACAUAAAUGACAGUUUUGUUUGUUCUAAUAAAUUCUGCUACUUAUAUGGCUCAGCUGUUCAUGUGAUGCGGUUUCAUCUUGAGAUAAAGAUAGCCUUAGUUUCAACUCCGACAUCACAUAAGCUGGGAUCGCCCUGUUAAGGGUCAUGGCAUUCUAUGCGUUCACACGAUUGAAAAUGAUUGAGUUACCUUUUCAAAUUGUCAUACUUAUUUGUGGACCGCUUUUGUUGUAAAGGAAACUUGCAGAUAAGGUUGCAUCAGCGGGAUUCUUCGUGGUUGUACCUGAUUUCUAUUAUGGAGAUCCCGUUAUUGAUGUCAAUGAUCCUAAUUUCAAUAUAGAAGUUUGGCUAAAAAAUCAUAGCCCGGUGAGUUUUCCACUCCUUCAGGUCGUGAAAGUAUUAUAGCACAUUUAGAAGUUUAGAGGAAACAAGGGAUCUCCAAAUAGCAAACUUGACUUCUACACUCAUAUCACAUGUAGUAAGUUGCAUUAAUAGCUAGAUCUGGUUGGAGAGUGCUGGUCAUUUCAAAGAUUUUCGACACCCAUCUACGUCUGUAAUUUACCAAAUUCCAGACGUGAAACAUGAUGCGGUCUCAGUAGAAUGAGAGCACCAUGAAUUUUCAUGUCACCAGUUUUUUAGUUGUCUUUUCGUAAACUUUCACCCCAUUUACUUCUUUAGGAUAAAGGGUAUGAAGAUGCCAAGCCAGUGAUUGCCGCUCUUAAAAGUAAAGGUGUGUCUGCCAUUGGGGUUGCAGGAUUUUGUUGGGGAGGUAAAAUUUUCUGAAUUCACUUUCACAGUUCUGAGGAGGUUAUUGGGUUAAAUAGGGAAAACUUGUUCCCCAAAACAUCAUAGAAAAAUUAGUUCUGGUCACUUACGGAAAAGUUCUUUCAAAGUUUGUUAAAAAGAGCUUGCCUAUCCUUUUCAGGAAUGGUGCUAGUGAAAUUAGCAGGCACCGAAGACAUUCAAGCAGCAGUUAUUCUGCACCCUGGUCGUAUCACCGAAGAUGAAAUCAGAGGUAAAGCUAUGCCAGUGAACAUGGAAUUUCUUCUUAUUUUCAUUUCAACCAUAGCAACAUAAUUUCUUCAUGAGGGUAUUAGGCUGGGUACUUGGCAUGGGAGGCUUUGUGGACUAAUAUGAUGCUCUUAUGUAUAAGUUUAUGAAUUCUGAAAAGAGUCUGCAAAUGCAGCCAAGAGUGAUGAAGAAACCUGCCAUGCGUCUGGUCAAUUACAAGAAAAUCGAUCGCACAACAUUUGUCUGUUUGAGAAGAGUUCCUUAAACUGGAAGCCGCAAAAAUCUUAUUUUUGUCUAUUCUUUGUUCAGCCGUCAAGAUUCCAACUGCUAUAUUGGGAGCCGAGAAUGACCACAUUUUCCCUGCAGACGAACUGAAAAAGUUAGGGGAGAUCAUGUCGGCUAAAACUGAAGUAAGCGACUUAGGAUAUUUUGUGCAUUUGUUGCAAGAAAAAAUGUUGGAAAAUCCUACUGUUUUAUCACAUUCCCGUCAGUGAGCUCGCAAAGCACUUCUUCUCUCUGGUUAUUUCUAUGCAUCACCAAUUCAAAGAUCCCGGUUUUGCAGUUCGAGAGUUAUGUCAAAAUAUUCCCUGGUGUUAGACAUGGAUGGAGUGUGAGGUAUAAUGACGAUGACGAGUCCGCCGUCAAGAGUGCCAAAGAGGCCCAAGAGGACAUGUUGAAUUGGUUCUUGAAGCAUGUCAAGUGAAAAGUAAGGCAUUGAUGCAGAAUAUAGUGAGGAAUUUCAGGACUAGUCAUCUGUUUUGGAUUAGUCAUCUAUAAUGUUCUGUUGUGACUUUAAUAAAUAAGGCAUCGGUUUCGUAGAUCGAACUUUGCAGAUUGAGAGUGAAGUAUGUCAUGUAGAGUUGUAUCGUGCCAUCUGGGUUGAAUUCUCUGUUCAAAUUGAUUGGAUGUGUUCUCUAUCAGAUAGCGUAUUCGUUUAUUCAAAGGAAACUAUUUCUGCGGAGAGUAAGUUCAGUUUUCUAAAUCCAAAAAUGGAGUCCAUGGGCUUUCUUUUUCCCCUGCUUGGUUUUGAUAAAUUUUCUUAUGCGGAAUGAUUCAGUCUAUUCGAUCGAUAGAAUCAUGUUGAAAUAUCUGUCGACAAAUAAUCCUAAUGCUCAAAACUACAUCAAAGAUUGAAUUCAGCAUCACAAGACAAUUUUAUGCCUCAUGUAAUGCAGAUAACUAGUUUGGAAAAUCUCAUGGUUACCAUUGAGACAUGAUGUACUUAUAUGUCCAAAUCAAUCAUAGGGUGGCAAGUGUUAUGAACAUUUUUACUUUCUUUAUUCGCAAUAAAUGAUAGUGCUUUUCCAUGGGCAAUUGAUUUAGGUGGACCAAAACGUCAUGCUUCGAGAGCACCUAAAACUUUCUCCAUGGAUUGAGAUUUCAUUUUGUUUUCUGUCCAUAGUCUAUGCUAGAAACAUGAAUCCCACAACCUAAUAUGCUUUCGAGCCAAUGGUUGGGGGUGUUGAUCUUGUUUUGGAUGUCGGUAAUGAUCACCAUUGAUCAUGUCAUUUUAAUAACAAGGUGUCUAGUUUUGCUAUACUCGAGCACUUAGGAUAUAAUACGCGAAAAUGACAGGAUUUUACAAUUUACAUCAAUCCAAAAUCACCAAAGAAAUAAACGAGAAAAAUAAGGACACGAGAAAUUUAUGCAGUUCGAUCCGAGUAUCAGUACCUACGUCCACGGGGAGAGCCAGCAGCAAAUAAUUCACUAAAAUCGGAGUAUUCCCCAAACCUAACUCAUUUGGAUAUAAAUUCACGACACAAAAUUACUGCGCGCACAAGCUUAAAGUAUAACACGCGCGACUCUCUCUUCAACUUGACGUGCGGCUCCUUGCGGCUUCUUCUACGUCGGGCUUCCGCUGCUUCGUAGGGUUACAGCCGUGCGCUUCUUUCGGGCGGGUGAAAGACGUGCAACAAUUAUUUCUCUUUCUAUACGUGUGUGCCCAAUUCAAACUUUGACUUGGCCCACCUCUUUGUCUUUUUACGUUCAGAGGACUUUUCUCGCUCCUUUCUUUUAGAAAGAAGUUUAAUACGUGUGUGCACGUGUUGACUUUUGGGCCCCAUUUGGGCCCCACCCGGGUAACAAAGAAUUUGGCAAGCUUUCGUGGGUAAGGAAGAAAUUCAUAUCUUCGUUUUAUUUCCUCUUUUUGUAAUCCUUCAUUGAGUCCAACGGAGUUUUUUCUACUUGGAAAUCUUUAUCAACAAAAUUCAAUAUAAUAAAUCGUCAUCCGAAUUCAAACUCGAGACAUUAUUUAACAAUUUUCCACUUUUGCUCGAUAUUUGAAGCCAAAUUAUAGUGUUCAUCAUCCAUGCUGCUCUUCCAACACUUCGACGGGCGCUCACUCUGCUUGAGCUUCGCCAAAGAAACAGACUUAGUCAUUAUAUUUGCCGGGUUAUCUGCUAUAGCAAUCUUUUUGACAAUAACAUUAUCCCAACAUCUCGGAUGAAGUGGUACCUGAUGUUGAUAUACUUCAUUUGCUUAUGAUAAACUGAAUUAUACGCCAAAUAUAUUACACAUUGGUUAUCACAGUGUAUAUCCACACUUUUUUGUUCUAACCCAAAGUCCGAAAGCAAAUUUUGUAACCAUAUCGCAUUUUUUGCUACAGAGGUUAGUGCAUGUAUUUUGCCUCAAUCAAAGACAAGACAAUGUGAUCCUAUAAUGAUGCUUUCCAACUAACUACACCACCCGCUAGCGUAAACACAUACCCUGCUAAAGAUCUGCAGUCAUCAAAGUCACCGGUGUAAUCCAAAUCCACAAAACCAAUGGUCUCACUGCCAUUACUAUCCUUCCGGUAUACUAUACCCACGUCUGUUGUUCCCUUCAAAUAUUUGAAGAUUUACUUUCCAGCUUCCUAAUGAGUUUUAUCAUAACGUUUCAUACAGCGACUAACCACGCUCAUAGCUUGUGAAAUAUCAGGCUUAGUGCAUACCAUAUCAUACAUAAUACUACCCACGUCAUUAGAAUAAAAAAACAUAGGACAUAUGCUUCUCCUCCUCCUCAGUAUGCGAUGAUAAAUUUAUUUAAAAGUUUAAAGUGCUUCGCUAAAGGUGUACAUACAGAUUUUGUUGACUGCAUAUUAAAACGUGCAACGAUCUUCUCAAUAUAUUUUCAUAGACAUAAAACUCUUGCAGUCCUGCCAUGCAAAAUCUCCAUAUCCAAUUUUUUUUUUUGCAGCACCUAAAUCUUUAAUCUCAAAUUCAACAUUUAACUGCCUCUUCAGCACAUCAAUAUCAGACACAUUCUUAAUUGCUAUAAGCAUAUUAUUAACAUCUAAGAGUAGAUAAAUCAAAGAACUAUUUUCCAAUCUCUUAUAGUAAACACAACUAUCCAUUUGACUUUUUGUGUAGAGAAAUAAUCAAAACGUUUAUACCAUUGUCUAGAAGACUGUUUCAGCCUAUACAAAAAUUUAUUUAACAAGCAAACAUGAUAUUUCUUACCUGAAAUAGCAAAUCCCUUUGGUUGCUUCAUGUAAAUCCGCUCUUCCAACUCACAGUGAAGAAAUGUACUUUUCACAUCUAGCUGCUCUAACUCGAGAUCCUACGAAGCAACUAAGACAAGUAAAACACGAAUAGAAGUAUGUCUUACCAUAGGAGAGAACACCUUAUUGUAAUCAAUGCCUUCAUGAUGUGUAUACCCAUUCACUACAAGUCUUGCCUUAUACUUCGUUGCCUUGACACUGGAAAUGCUCUCUUUCCGUUUAAAGACCUAUUUACUUCCGACAAUCUUUUGGCUCUUUGGUACUUUGAUCAGCUCCCAUGUCUGAUUUCGAUGGAGUGAUUCCAUCUCUUCACUCAUAGCCCCUAGUUACUGCGACGACUCCGAACUAGCCAUUGCCUCAGAGUAAGACGAAGGCUCAUCUGUCUCCACCUCAUCACCUAUAAUUAAUGCAUAAGUAAUAUCUGUAUAAUCAUAACAUACUAGUGAUUUAAUCUGCCUUCUUUGUCUAUCUGCGGCUAUAAUGUGCCGCGGUUUUGCUGGUUGUUCACUAUCACCGACUUAAGAAACUGUGGCUUCAUUUGCAGUCUCAACUUCUAUUACUUUCGAAGUCUCUGGAGUCUCCACCUGAAGCUCCACUUCACUAAUGACAUCAUGAUCUGUCUUCUCUGCUGGUUGUGUCUCAAAUUUCCUUCGUUGAAGUAUUGCAGUCUUGUCGAAGAUCACAUCUCUACUAAUUAGAAAACCGGGUGAUUUACGAUCAGUGCACCACAGCUAGUAGCCUUUCAUCCCAUGUGCAUAACCCGGAAAUAUGCAUUUCUUCGCCCUCGACUCAAGCUUACCAUCACUCGCAUGAACAUAUGUAGGACAUCCAAAUAUAUGUAAUUUGGAGUAAUCAAUAGGUUUCCCCGACCAUACUUCCUCAAAAGUCUUCCACUCGAUAGCAGAUGAUGGAGAUCGAUUAACCAGGUAAGAUGACAUGUUCAUUGCUUCGAUCCAAAAUUCCUUGCCAAGUCCUGCAUGUGAAAGCAUGUAUUGAGUUCGUUUAGGUAAAGUUUUGUUCUUUCGUUCUACCACGCCAUUCUGUUGUGGUGUCCUAGGUAUUGUGUGGUGUCUUACAAUACUUUUGUUUUUGCAAAACUUGAUAAAAUCUUUACCACGGAACUCCAUGCCAUUAUUGGUUUUCAGGCACUUGAUUUGUUUAUCUGACUGCUUCUUAAUCAAUGGCUUAAAUUUCUUGAACCGAGCAAACACUUCAUAUUUGUGCUUCAGAAAGUAAACUCAUACAUUCCUCAAAUAAUCGUCAAUAAAUGUCAACAUAUAUUAGGCACAUGCUUUCGAAGGAACUAAAGACGGGCCUCAGACGUCUGAAUGAAUAUAUUCAACUAGUCGUUUGGUCGAAUGAAUAGCUGUAGUAAACUUAACUUAGUGCUACUUCUCAAAGAGGCAGUGCUCACAUAAGUCCAGCUUGUCUUUUGACCUUUCAACAACUCCCUUUCACUCAACAUUGUCAUACUUGCCUUACUCAUGUGCUUUAAACGCAUAUGUCAUAAUUGAGUCAAGUUAAAAUCCGACUCACUUGAUGAAGCUGCAGUGGUUCUGGUCACAGUAUGUCCCAGUAGAUGAUAAAGAAUAUUCACUUUCUUCCCCUUCAUCACUGUCAUGACAUCUUGAGAGAUCUUCAAUACUCUACUUUCAGCGGUUUACUUAUACCCGAUGUCAUCGAGUGUCCUCAGAGAAAUAAGGUUCUUCUUGAACUCUAGUACAUGCCUCACAUUUGUCAAUGUGCACACCACCUCAUCGUGCAUUCGGAUCCGAAUUGUCCCUAUCCCUACAGCCUUAUAGACUGCAUUAUUCCCUAAAAGAACCCUACCACCAUCUGCAACUUAGUAAGUAGUAAACUAGUUCUUAUGAGGCGUCAUAUGAUAAGAACACCCCGAAUCUAGCACCCAUUCGUCUCCUAACGAAGUAUCAGUCACACAUAAAACAGUUUCUGUAUCACUAGUGCUCCCCUCAGCAACGUUUGCCAUACUGCUUGUAGCAUUCUGUCUAUCAACUUUAUUUCUCCACUUUGGACAAUCUCUCAUGAUGUGCCCCUCCUCAUGACAUUCAAAGCACUUUGCGCGUCCCUUAGACUUUUUAUGGCGUGAUUUCAAUAUACUUUUACCUCUGCUGCUACUAGGCUCUUGAUAUUGUUUUCUACCCAAAUCAUUAGUGUUUGCGUUGCUCCUUUCGCCAAACCAUUAUCUCGCAAUUUUCUUUGUCACUCCUUAGAAAAUAAGGCGGACUUUACUUAUUCUGAGAUAAUAGUAGUAUGCCCCUGUAACAACGAAUCAGUAAAGUGCUCCCAUGACUCUGGUAAAGAAGCUAACAAUAUCAUGCCCUAUUCUUCAUCAUCAAGUAUCUUACCGACGUUCUUUAAAUCCAUCGUGAGUUUAUUAAAUUUAUUUAGGUGUGUUUAAAUAGAUGCACCUUCAGUAUAUCUAAACUAAAACAUCUUCUUCAAUAUGUACAAACGAUUGUCUUUUUACGUUCAGACGACUUCUGCCCCUCCUUUCUUUUAGAAAGAAGUUUUAUACGUGUGUGCGUGUGUUGACUUUUGGGCCCCACCUGGGUAACAAAGAAUUCGGUAAGCUUCCGCGGAUAAGGAAGAAAUUCGUGUCUUCCUUUUAUUUCCUCUUUUUGUAAUCUUUCGUCGAGUCCAACGAAAUUUCUUCUACUUAGAAAAUUUUUAUCAACAAAAUUCGAUAUAAUAAAAUCGUCAUCCGAAUUCAAAUUCGAGACAUUAUUUAACAUUAUAGGGUGCCUAAAUCAUGCAAAGCCCAAAUUUCAAAUUUUUGUUAUCUUACUACAUGUAUUUUGUGGACCUACUUGGUCUCAUCCCAUAUGCUUGGGUUCUAUCAUGUUCAAUAGAAUGUCACCAUAUCCAAGUUUGUCAUAGCUGUCGACCUAGAUUAGGCAAGCACACAUCAAUUCGCUUCAGUCCGUUGUGAGUAAAUUAUGAGCUGGGAUAAAUGUAAGUGAAUCUCAAGUGAUGCACUGGAGAAAAUAUUUGGAAAUGCCAUCGAACCUCACCUUUUGUCUCUUCUAAGUAGUUAUUGAAUGAUCGGGAACGCCUUCCCACCGAGUCAAGUCAAUGUCGCCCCUACUAUCCAGAUAUUUGGAAAUGCCAUCGAACCCCACCUUUUGUCACUGCUAAGUAGUUAUUGAAUGAUCGGGAACGCCUUCCCACCGAGUCAAGUCAAUGUCGCCCCUACUAUCUUCCACCUCUCGACGUGAGGAAGUUAUUAUUGCCCGAGUGACGCAUGUAAUGACGCCUUGAGGCCCUCCAUCCUUUCCUUAUAAAAUACUCGUUCUUUUCCCCUGUUGCCUCUCACAACUUGUCCCGUUCUUGCACCGAUUCCUCACUCCUAGUGCGUCCCACUUUCACCAGAUUUCUGAGGAAGAAAGGAAAAUGUCGAGCUCUCAGUGUUUUGAGAACCCACCAAACCUGAGCUCCACUUGCGGAGCAGGACACAUUGAAGAGCUUGCAGGUCUCAAGACUUACGUCACCGGCCCUUCCGAUUCCAAGCGUGCUGUUCUUCUCAUCGCCGAUGCUUUCGGUACUGGCCCAUUUCUUUAAUUUUGAUUUUGUGGUGUUUCUCUCAGUUGGGUCUUUUCUUUUGGUCAAUUAUGUAUAUCUUCUUGGUUCUUUGUCGUUCUUGUGCUUUUCGAUUGGUCCAUGAUAUUGCUGCUUGAUUGAUGAUCUUUGCUCAUCUGUUUGUGCAGGGUAUGAGGCUCCUAAGCUGAGGUAUGGAAUCUUUCUCAAGUUGUUCUAUGUAUAUGUUGUUCUGUAGUGCCAUCUUUUUAAGUUUCAUAGUGAAUAAACUCUGUAUUCUCCGGAUAGCAUACAUUUGAAAGCUUUGCUUUUCCGUUCACCUUUCACCUGUGAUGACGAAGAGCAUUAGAUGGCACUUGAGGGCGAAGCCAGUUCAUUCUGGAUGAGUGUGUUUGGCGUUCUUCUGUUCCAAGUUAAAACAUCAUUUGUUGAAUUGUAUAUACACGUGGGACUUCAUGGCAUAGUUCAGCUGACAUUUGAUAUACAUCGCUUGAUUCAAUAUGAAUCACAGUUUUCUUUGUUCUAAUGAUUUCCGCUACUAAUAUGGCUCAGCUGGUUAUGUAAUUCGGUUUCAUCUUGAGAUAGAGUUAUCCUUAGUUGCAACACCAAAAUCACAUAAGCUGGGUUUGCCUUCUUGACAGUCCCGGCAUGAUUCUAUGUUUUAACAAGAUUGAGAAUGAUGAGAGUUACCUUUUCAAAUGGUCAUACUUAUUUGCGGAAUGCUUUUGUUGUGUAGGAAACUUGCAGAUAAAAUUGCAUCAGCAGGAUUCUUGGUGGUUGUACCUGAUUUCUUUUACGGAGAUCCCAUUAUUGAUUUCACUAGUCCUAAUUUCAAUUUAGAAGCUUGGUUUAAGAAUCACGGCACGGUGAGUUUUUCACUCCUUCAGGCUGUGAAAGUGUGACAGUACAUUUAGAAGUUCAGAGGAAACAAGGGGCUUUCUACUGUGCAAACUUGAUUUGUAGACUCGAAUCACACGCAGUAAGUUGCAUUGGUAUUUAGACCUGGUUGGAGAUUGCUGGUCAUUUCAAAGAUUUUCAACGCCCAUCAAGAUCUUUAUUAUACCAAAUUCCAAAUGCAAAACAUGAAACAGCAUAAGUAGAAUAAAAGCCUCAUGAAUUUUGAUGUUACCGACUUUUAGGCAGU
This 81861-nucleotide long non-coding RNA is filed under the name Eucalyptus grandis. RNAcentral describes it as "long non-coding RNA (EGRA_LNC005114)". The record is from RNAcentral. Lineage: Eukaryota; Viridiplantae; Streptophyta; Magnoliopsida; Myrtales; Myrtaceae.